Molecule: long non-coding RNA, 47760 nt
Filed under: Arachis ipaensis
Lineage: Eukaryota; Viridiplantae; Streptophyta; Magnoliopsida; Fabales; Fabaceae
Description: long non-coding RNA (AIPA_LNC000650)
Source: RNAcentral
CACGCGACCACGUGACCCACGCGUCCGCAUCACAUGCGGCACACAGCUUAUCCAGAUCAGCCAAAUAUCAUAUAUUUUCUUCCCCAAAUCCUAAUUUUUCUUUUUCCCUUCUUAUUUCUUUCUUCUACCUUCCUCCUUCUUUAUUCUUUCUCACUUUUUACUUUCUAUUUUUCACAUCCAUUAUCAAGGUUCUUUUCUUUCUUUAUUUACUUUUUACUUUUCCUUUAUUACUUUUAUUUAUGUUUAUGUUUUUUUUCCUUUUUCUUUUCACAUUCAUUAUCUAUAUUUUCUUUUUCUUUCUUUUCUUUUCUUUUUAUUCCUUUAAUUGGUGUUAGAAACUUAUUUGGGUGAUUAUUUUUUUUUAUAUUUUGUUUGUGAGUUAUUGUGAAAUUGUUUGACAAUUAAUAUUACUUUUAAAAGGUUGCUUGCAUGUUCAAUUUAAUACUUUCAAUAACAUAUUUACCAUGCAUGCUAUGUGUUUGUGAAAAAGUCCUUAUGGCAUUGUGCAUUAUUUUUAUAUUACUCUAUUUUACUACUCUAAUGCCUGCUUUUCACAAAAUCUCUUUUAUAUUUUAUUAAUUAAAUAUAAUUAUCAAUACAAACAGGUUGUUAGUUUCAAAGGGUUGGUAAUCUAACUUAGACAUUGAAUGUUUAAUCUAUGCUACUCAUGCCUUUGCCAGCAUUCCAAUAAACAUCUUGCAUUUAAUUGCCAUCACAUACACUUGCUAUAUUUUCAUUGAUGAACUUUUCAUAUGUAGUCAUGACCAUGUGUUAACGACAUCCUUCUUUACCGUGCAUUGAUUAUCACCUAUACCAUCAUCUUCCUUGAUCGAACCCUUAGCUUUACUUAUUACUUUCUUUUUCCCUUUUCAAGAUGGCCACCAAGAAGGAUAAAGAGAAAGCUACUUCCAAACAAUCGGCAAGGAAAGGAAUAAAAAGUGCACUAGCUGCGAAACCACCCGUCCACUUGUACAUCUCUACAUGCACCGAGGACGGUGCAAUCUUUAAGUGUGGGGAGGUCGAUACUGACUUUUGUGGGUUAGUUACCUUCUUCUCAAUACCAAUGUUUUAUUUUUUUUGUUUGUUCAUUGUUGCAUUUGCAUGUUUGAUUGCAUAUUUGUUUGAUUUUGUGCAUAUUUUACCACUUGGUUAGAGUAAUAUUUUCUUUUUCAAGAAACUUUUUAUAGCAUUUCACUAAUUUGAUUAAAAUUUUUAUUGAACUUGUUUGAAGAAAUAUUAUACUGAAACAUAGUUUUAGAGCUCAAACACACAAAACAUGUGAGAUUUUUGAGCUUAUUUGAUUGGUUGCAUCUUAUCAACCAAUAUUUUAUUUUUAGUGUGUGUUGUUCUCUCUAAAAUUGUGAUCUUUGUCUUGCUUAAUUCUAUAUUUCUAUGGUUUGAUUUAUACAUGCACUUAUACGAUUGAGGCCUUUGUUUCACUGAGCUUACGUACUCAUAUGGCCUUACCUUUCAUUAUCCCUUGCAAACCAAUUUUGAGCCUAUUUUACCCCUUUGUUCUUUAUUUUAGCACAUCAUUAACUCUAAGCAGAAAACAAUAAUGUCCUUAAUUUGAAUCCUUGGUUAGCUUAGACUAGUGAGAGUGCUCAUGAAUUAAGUGUGGGAAAAAGUGGGUUUGGAAACGUUUGGUUUAAGAAUUGGGUGUUAUAUAUCUUUAUGAAAAUGUGAAAGAAAUGUUUAGGACAUGUUCAUGCAUUCAAUAAUUUAACCAUAUGCAUUGAGAAAAACAAAAGAAAAAAAAUAUAUAUAUAUAUAUAAGGAGAAAAAAAGAAAAUAAAAAGAGAAAACAAUAAAAAGGGGACAAAAUGCCCCAAAGUAAAUGGUGAAAAGCAAUGCAUAUGUACUGUACUCGAAAUUAGGAUGCAUGAAUAUGUGGAAAACAUGGUUAAUGGAUAGUUAGAUGUUGUAUUAUGAUUACAUGGAUUGUCCUAAGUGAGGUGGAAAGUUUAAGUUAAUUAAGGAUUCAGAUUUUAGUCCACUUAACCAAAUACAAUCCUACCUUGACCCUAACCCCAUUACAACUCUUAAAAGACCUCUUGAUAUGUGUAUCUGUGCAUAAAUUUUUGUUGAUUGUUAGAUGAAGAGCAAGCCUUAGAAAGCAAGAUUAGUAAAGAAUUGAGAGAUCGAACCUUAAACACCUGAGCGAUUAGAGUGCAUAUUACUUCCAGUGAGGGUUCGAUGCUCGAUUCCUUGUUCCCGGCUUUCAUGAGCUAUUUUCUUCUGCAAGUCCACUUGUACUUUAUGUUGUGAUUUGAAUUAGUGAAAUCCAGUUCAUAUUUGUUCUUGAAGGAUUUGUUUACUUUUAACCAAGUAGGUAGAAAUAUUUUGCAUGUAGUUGCAUUCAUAUAGAUAGGUUGCAUUUCAUACUUUCUACCAUUCCUCUUCACUCUUAUAGUUUCUCUUGAGCAUAGCAUGAGGACAUGCUAAUGUUUAAGUAUGGGGAGGUUGAUAAACCCCAUUUUUAGGGUUUAUCCUAUGCUUAAUCUAGUAGAUUUUAUCCAUUAUUCUCACAUUUAUUCAUACAAUUCACAUGCUUUAUGUUUUCCUUCCUGAUUUUGUGCUAUGAUUGAAAACAUGUUUCUUUGAUCUUAAUUUGCUAUGUUUAAUCCCCUCUUAUUACCAUUCGAUGCCUUGAUAUGUGUGUUAAGUGUUUUCAGAGAUUACAUGGCAUGAAUGGCUUAGAGGAUGGAAAGGAAGCAUGCAAAAGUGGAAGGAAUACAAGAAAUUGAAGGAACUGCACUAUCAGCCUGACCUCUUCGCACUCAAAUGAUCAUAACUUGAGCUAUAGAGGUCCAAAUGAGGCGGUUCUAGUUGCGUUGGAAAGCUAACGUCCGACGGCUUCGAAAUGAUAUAUAAUUUGCUAUAGUGGCUGUACAGCUAGGCGACGUGAACGUGUGCUCCACGCGGAAGCGUCGCAGUGACGAAAAACCAGCGUGGCAGAUUUCGCAACCAGCAAUUACUGGGCUGUUUCUAACCCAGUUUUUGGCCCAGAAAACAUAGAUUAUAGGCUAUAAAGUAGCAGAAUCUAUUUAUUCAAUGAUACAACAUUCAUAACUCACAAUUUUUAGGUUUUUAGAUGUAGCUUUUAGAGAGAGAGGCUCUCUCCUCUCUCUUAGGAUUUAGGAUUAGGAUUAGAAUUUAGGAUUUCUAUUAUGAUUAGGCUACCUCUCUUCAAUCACAGGUUCAAUGUUCCUUUAAUUUAUUUUCUACUUUUAUUUAUUCUAUUACUUUAAUUGUUAUUUAUCUUUUCAAUUUGGUUUAUGAACUCCAUGUUAGGAUUGAUUUUCUUAAUUAAUACAUAUUGAGGUAUUUUAGAUUUAUGAUUGUUUUAUUCCAUUUAUGAUAAUUAUAAUUUAAUUUAGAUUUUUCUCCUUUUGACUUUGGUUAAGUAAUUGGUAACACUUGAGUUAUCAAACUCAGUAGUUGAUUGAAAAUUGGAAUUCUCGCUGAUUGAUUUGGAUCGCUCUAAAGCUAGUCUUUCCACAGGAGUUGACUAGGACUUGAGGAUCAAAUUGAUUGGUCCGCUUGACUUUCUUUUAUUUAGUAAGGGUUAACUAAGUGGGAGCGAUAAACAAUCCUCAUCACACCUGAUAAGGAUAACUAGGAUGGGAUUUCCAGUUCUUACACCUUGUCAAGAGUUUUAUAAUUAUUAAUUUAUUUUUCUUGUCAUUUAAAUUACUUGUUCCUUAUUUUAAAAACCCAAAACAAAAUAUACUUUUUCCAUAACCAAUAAUAAAUCAUACUUCCCUACAAUUUCUUGAGAGAUGAUCCAAGGUUUAAAUACUUCGUUUACAAAUUUUAUUGGGUUUUGUUACUUGUGACAACCAAAUUUUUGUACGAAAGGAUUCUUUACUGGUUUAGAAACUAUACCUACAACGUGAUUAUAUUUGUGAAUUUUUUUACUAGCAGAAAUUCAAUCGUCAUGUUGCGACGAAGGCAACGAGGCUAGAAGAACUGGAGAGAAAAUUAAAAUGAAGAAUAAAUUAAAAAUUAGUAACAGCAGUAAACCAAGAAAAAAAUUAAAUUCAAGAACAAUCAUCAAUAAUCAAGAAAAAAUUUAUAACAAGAACAGAAAAAAUAGCAGAUAAAGAAUGAAAAAUCAAAAAGAAAAUCAAGAAUAAACCUACGUGACGGAUGACACGACGACUAGACACAGCUGCACUGUGCUGCACGGAGGGUAACACAGGGCUACUGAUACGUGGACGACAACACAACAAGUCGGUAACUGCUGGUAGGUGCUGCUUCUAUGUCACAGCGUGGGGAUAACAGAGAGAGAGAUAGAGAGAGAGAGAGAGAGAGAGAGAGAGAGAAGCUACAAGGAAGGGAGAGGGAGUGGAUAAGGGGAAGAACGGUGCCGUGGACCGCGGGUGUGGCGCCUUCACAGCUGCUGUAAUUUGGAGGAUGGCAGAGGAGAGUGGAGGACUAGGGGUUGUGAGAGUUCAAAGUAGGGCGAGGUACUGAGGUUUGCGGCGCUGAGGAUGUAAGACCCAGAACCUUUGAAAAGUCUUUUUAUGAUCAAGUCUCAAAUCAUAUGGUUAUUUAUAGCCUUAAUUUCAGAAAUUAUUUUAUUAAAGGUAAUUAAGGCAAGUUUCGAUUUAUUGAAUUUGAGAUAAGUUAUGAUUAUUAUCCAAUUUUAUAAUUAUUAGAUUAUUUUCUAUAUUUGAAUUAUAAAGUUGAUAGUUAUGAAGUAAUAAGGAUUUUAUACGAUUUGGAUUAGAUAAGUAAUAUUUUAAAUGUUACUAUUGCUAUUUUGGAAAAAUGAAGAAAUUAAGUAUAUUAUUUCUAAUUAUUUGAUUUGGAAAUUUUAUUGAAAGUAAUUUGUAAAAAUUGAUGAGAAAAUAGUAUUUUCUAUAUACAUCUAGUGUUGGAUUUAAUUUGGAUUUCAAUUACUCUAUUCCCUAAUUUUAGUAAAGUUACCAAAGUGCCCCUAACCCUAGGUUUCAAAAAUGAAACCCUAACUCCCUUCAUCCUAGUAGCCGCAGCCUCACCUCCCUCAACACACACAGUUUGUUCCCUUAACCCACGAAGAAAAAACAGAAGCAGUGAGCCACCGCGGAGAAACGGGAUCCGUGGAGAAGAAGGAGAGGAGGAGAGGGAAGAGACUGCGCCGCGCGCUGGGCUUCACCGCCACCGCGCCGUCGUCUGGCCGAAGAGGAAGGAGAGCGUCGCACCGCNNNNNNNNNNNNNNNNNNNNNNNGCCGCCGGUGCUGCCAGCCCUUCGCGUUUCGCGCCGCCGAGGGUCCUGCUCCUGCCAGGCAUGUCUCCGCCGUGAGUCGCGACCAGAGGGAAGAGAGAAAGACCAUGAAAGAAGCGUGGAGUCGGUGCCGAGUGGAGAGGGACUUACCGCAGCCGUCGCGCGCCGCCGUGUGCCGUCAUCGCUGUCUGAACAGUCACCGUCGCCUUGGGUGGAGUCCGCCGCUGUCGCCAGUGGAGGCCACUGCUGUAGAACGGACGUGUGAGAGGGAAGCAAGAUGAAUCCCCUCUGCUUCUGGUGCUCUAGUCCGCCGCUGCCGCCGCCGGAAUCCUUGGGGGCCGCCGUUGUCUUUGUUGCCAUUAAAGGAAGCUAGCUGCCGCCGCCAUUCAGAUCCGCUACGGUCUCUGUCGGAAGCCACCAUGGGAGCCGUGGAAUGAGGGGUUUCUGCCACCUUUGAAACUCCAUUGCUGUUGUUGUCAUGGCCGCCACGCCGUUGGCUACCGGGAUCGGUAUUGUGGCCGCCAGAAACCGUCUUUUCUUGGUAAGCGUUUGGUUUUUGAAACCCCUUAAAGUUAGUGCCCUGUUAUACUUCGUUAGAGAUUCUGAGAUGUUGGUUAUGCAGGGUUGAGUUCCGAUAAAUGUGCGUUGAAACUAAGGUUGUUGUUGAGCCACCGGAGCUUUUUGCUGCUACGGGGCUGUUGUCGGGUCAGUUCGGAAUCGCAGCUGUUCCUUUGUGUUAUUUUGGUAAGUAUAUUUCGAAGAGCCUCGUGUUAGUAUUUUGUCGUGUAUGGUUGAUGAAUAUGAGUUCUGAUAGCAUGGGGUCGAGUCCUGAUUAUUGUAUGUUGCGACUAGUGUCGCUAUGAUUAUUGCGGAUGUGGCUUGAAGCUGAGGUUGCGGUUGUUGAUGAUUUCGGGUUGAGGCGGAAAAGACUCUGUGACGCGUUUGAGUUAUGGAAUUUGCGUUUUAAGGUAGGGGCGCUUUCCAAAAACUAUGUUUUAAGUAUUGGAAUUAUUACAUAUGGAUACUGUUGUGAGAUAUUGUGUAUUUGGUGAUUGUAUCUGCCUUAUGUGUUAUUUGAUUGACCCGAGUGAUUAUGGAUGUUGGUUUGGUUGAAUUGUUGUACGGCUUUGUAAAAUGCAAUGUUUUGAAGUGAUUCUUUAAAGAUUUGAAAUCUGAGUUUAAUCCGUUGAGGAUUGAUUUGAUUUGAGUCAAUUAUUUGAUGAUGUGAAAAGUCGAAUGCACUUUUGAAUUCAGCCUGGUUUACUUUGAUUGACUUGAUCUUGGACAAAUGAAUUGUUACUGAACUGUUUCUUUAAAGCUUUGGAAAUGAGUUAAAUCGGUUGAUAUUGAGUUGAUUUUGAAAUGGUUUUCUUGAGAUAUGCCACUGAGGCGACUGUUGGAUUUAGCUUGCUUUGAAUUGAUUUCUGGUUUUGAGCUGUUGAAAAGGAAUGAGAAACGGUUUAGUUGGGACCCGAACCGGGUGGCAAAAGUCCAAGUUUUAGGGGAGGUGCUAUCGAAAUUUCUACAAAAUCCUAGUCUUGUUUGAAAAGUUAUUUAAAAAGUAUUGGAUUUGAGAAGUUGUAUUGUUUGAUUUAUUAAGAGAAUAUUUAUAUUUUCAGGCUUAAUUUAUUUAGUGAACUUUAUGCCUUGAGUUUGACUUAUUUAGAAAUGAACUAUUUUUACCGUUUGAAUCACUGAAGGAAAGAAUGAUUCUUUAAUAUUGAUUUCAAUAUAAAAAAGGAGCUUUUAGUGAUUUCAAAGGAAUCUAGACUUUUGAUUAAGCAAUUAAGUUUGAGGCAUUUUGGAAGAGUUAGAAAAAUGGGUUCCAAAAAGAAACCUGAAAGUGGUUUGAUUCAAAUGAACCGGUUCCUUUUCAAAUGAGUUGAUUUUUGGACCGGGUUAGAACUUGUGAUUUUGUAUGGUCGGUUUCAAUGAAUUUUAAGGAAUUGAUAUAGGUUGACCUUCCAUAAAGACUUGGGACUCUGCCGAGAAGCUUUUAUUAUAAAAUCCCAUUGUUGGACGGGUGGUUUUGAAUACUUUGAAAUAAAUCCUUAACUUGCAAUGGUUUUGGAAGUUUUGGAAAGAGAAAGCCGAGAGUGGCUUUGUUUUAAACAGGGAACUCACUUGAGUAAAUUUGGCUUAUGAGCCUGAGAUGAUUUGAGAAAUGAGAUCUUUAAAGCCAGGGCCAAAAAGAGUUAAAAUUUGAUUUCAAAGUGAAAUGGCUUGAGAAAAGUGAUUUGUGGCUUAAAUGCCGGUUUUAUGAAUUUGAUGUUGUUGAAUGGUGGAAGUGUUGUUUUGUUAUGGGCCGGAAUGGCUGUGUAUGAUUAUGAAUAUUGGCAAGUUCUGGAUUGAACCGUGAGCCAGAAUGGCUGUGUAUGAUAUUGAUUUAUGGCUGAUUGCCGAAUGAGUUAUGGGCCGUAUGGCUGACUAUGAAUUAUGAAUUUAAGCCGGAUGGUUGAGAUGGAUAUUGAUCCAUGGCUGGGACUGAAUGAAUAUAUGCUUGAGAUACCUGGGUAGUAGCAAGGGUUGUAAUUCGUCCCACUUGCUCCAGGUCAGAGACUGUGAUGCCUGGGUAGUAGCAGUAGUAAUGGUAAUUCCACUCGCUCCAAGUUGAGCUUUUAAACACCCGCCUGGGUAGUAGCCGCAGUAGUGGUUAUUCCACUGGCUCUGGGUUAAGCGGGUAGUAGCAAUGGGGUUGUAGCUCAAACCUACUUGCUCCGCGAUGGGUGUUUCUGUCCAUGGCUAGCUACCAGAACGUGUCAGGUUGGCUAUAUAACCGACAGAUGAUAUCAUCAGUCACUAGAGACAGGCAUGCAUCAUAUGCAUCUAUGUGACAUUGUUUGGGUGUGCAUAUUGUACUUAGUUUGCCUAUGUGAUUAACUGCUAAUUGUUCUACUUGGUGUAAUUGUUUGUUUGUGCUUGAACUUCCUAUCUGUGUUUGCAACUGGGACUCCGUUGGUUUGUGGUGAUUGGUUGAUGGUUGGAUUGUUUGGGCCUAGGGCAAUGGUUGAAAUGAGAUGGACCAAUGAUUGGUUUCGAUUUUGUGUUUUUGGUUUGGAAAAGUAUGAAAUGCUAAUUUGGUUCAGCAUGGUUAAACCUUUUUGAAAGGCUUUUGAGUCUUUGAGAAUUGAAUGGUUCCUCUUUUAGAAAAGAUUUCCGACCUUACUUUCAUUGUAAACCGUUGUUUUUGAAAAGAGGCAUGAGACAGUUAUUAAUCACUGGUGCGGUUAUCUUCAUGUAUCCUAUUACAGUAAUUCCCAAAAACCCUUUACUGAGAACCCUUUCGAGGAUGAUGUUCUCACCCCCUACAUUUUUCCCCUUUCAGGAUAUGGGCACAGAAGUCACGAAGAGUUUAUUUAGUUGUUGUUGAAAUGCUCUGUAUUGCUUUAGGUUAUUAUUUAUACCCUCGCCUUUAUCUUGAGAUAUUCUGCAAGAGGGAUAGGAAUUGUGUUGUCUAAUGCUUGUAAUAUUAUUUAUAUAUAUGUGUGUAUAUAUAUGGAUGUACUCUUUAUGAGCUUUUGUAAGUUGUAUGGUAUUUAUGGAUGUACGUUACCGAACGAAAGUAUUUCUUGGGAAUGGUAUUGCGGUUUAAAGUUUUAAACAGGCUCAUAUUUUAGUAUUAAAUAAUAUAAGUGUCGUCGUAAUGUCCGAGCUAUCAGAGUCGCACAGCCGGAAGCGUGAGCUUUGGUAGUUAGGGUGUUACAUUAUGGUAUCAGAGCGGUCUUUCCUGUAGAGCCUGAGGAAUAGACCGACUAUGCUUCGAUUGCAUACUCUGAGCGUUUGUCAUGUAUUAGGUCUUGUCGAAAGACGAGAAUUAGAGAUUUAUGCACAUGACGGUCUAUUGAUUAACGCUGUUAGUCUUGCAUUGCAUAAAUCUUGGUAUUAAGUUUGGCCGCUUAAUACUAGUGAAUUAUGUAUAUGAAAGCACUGAUGGGUUAUCAUAGAUGAUAUACGAGUUUCGGGUAAAGCGAAUCGCGGGUUUUGGGAACGUUGGAAACUAUUUCUCGAGGCUAUUCAGUUGUGUGUCUUGAAUUCUAUUCGAGUCGACUUGUUCUUUCAUAUCCUAACUUGAAGUUCUUGUUUGCUGAUCCUUUUGAGGAGUAGUUUGAUUUUUUCAAUUUUAUUCCUCUAUCCACAGGCAUUCUUGUUUGAUCUUAAGUGCAUAUGCUUGUUUAAGAUCCUCGUUGUAUCUACCUUCCUCUGUUUGAGUUCUUUUUUAUUCCUGUAUUCUUUGAUAUAGCCUUGAACUUGUCUUGAUGCGCUGUGACUUUUAACUCUGGAUUCCGAGUUCAUUCUUAGGAAAAUUGUUGAUUCAGUUUUUCUCUUAUUUGACAGUGAUUACAGCCAAUUUUUAGAUUUUUAUAAAAAUUGCUGUUGAAUAGAUACAUACUUAGCUAUAUAUGAAACUUCGAAGAUUUCUUAUACAGUUUAACAACUAUUUAUUUCUAAUACCUCACCUGUACUUUUACUGGUUUACGGAACUGCGUUUACUUUAAAUUACAAUUUGACUUUCUAGUAAUUUUACUAUAGUUCCAAUGCACAUCUUCAUUUGAUUAUGUAUUUGGAUAUUUUUCAAAAUUUUGAAAAAAAAAAGGAUUUACCACUUUUGUCUCGGUUGAGUUUCGUUUGAUAAGCUUUACUUAACUUAUUUUGAAUUGAGUUUGAUUUAGCAUGCUAUAUGGUUUAUGCCAUUGCUGUUCUUUUGAAAAUGUUGGACUCAUAGCUUUCUCCUUAUGAACGGACUAAAGUUUCUCUUAAGCCUUCCAUCUCCAUAGGUGUCGUGCUUGGCUUUGUUUUUAACUAAUCUUUUACAUCUUGUGAACAUUACCAUUGAUCUUGGUUUUUCUUCUCUGGUGAACCUCAUUCUUAUAUGAGUCAGUUUGAUUCGUUUCAAAACAGUGCAUCGUUUAAUCUCUCAUUAUCUCUACAAGAGUUUUUAGUCAAAGAUUUAUCCUUGAGAAAUUACUAAUGAUUGAGUUGUCUUUUCCUAUGACUUUUUCUUUUGGAUCAAUUGAAAGCUUGUUUGAUGUCGCAUGCCUAGUGGAUCUUGUUUAAACUACUUUGAUUUAAGAUCUUUUCUUGUAUGGCUUGACUCCUUUUCAAGUACAUCCUAAUUUUCUUGAAUAUUAUUGCGAGAUGGUGAUUUCAAGUAUACUUUUGGAGACUUGUUUUGAAUUUUAUAAAGCAGAUUGAAUUCUCUUUGAAUAAGUUCUAAAUUGAACUUAUUUUUCAUUUGCUUGGUUAUAAUUGAGACCGUUGUUCAAUUUUUGGCAAAAUUGUUUUAAAGUCGGUAUGCGCUAUUUUAAAUGAGGUUUGAAAAGCUUCCUUGUUUAUUGGAAACCGGUGUGUUUGUAAUGCAACACUUAAUUCCUUUACCAAUUUAUAGCAAACUUUUACCUCGGAUUUUCUUUCCUAAAUAGAGCUUAACUUUCUCUUUUGACCUCGCUAAGAUUUUAUACACGCUUGUUUGAAUAUGGACUUUGGAGAUUUUUGAACAAGCAUUUGAUUUCUCUUCCGAGUUUUAUGAUUGCUUUUGGUUAAGUUGUGCACCUAAUUAUCUUUCUAAAAUAUUUGAGGGAAUAUUUUAGCCUUUAGCCAAACUUGUGAGCAUCUUGUUUUUAAAACUAUACAUAAUCUACUUCAACGUGAAAUUGAACUAGAGCAAAGCCACGUUUAUGCUUUUGUUACUCUCUUGAAGGAUAUUUGUUGCUUAACUUUUCUUUUAGACUGCGAGGUGAUUUUCCUGCAAGUUUUCGAUUCUUUUAUGAACAACGUAUUCGGAAGUGUUUUUAAUCGUGCUCUUGAAGUUCUGUGAGCUUUGUCUUGGGUUUGAGAGAUUCUUCCCUAUAAACUUCAUACUUCUUUGACUCAGCUUGAAUUUGUUUCAAACUAAUGUGCUGAUCCUUCUCCUUGUUGAUCCUAUUGGAUUUCUUUGAUUCAAGGGUUAUCUUUGAGGUUGUCAAUUGAAUUGUGUCUAGCAAACUUCAUUGCUUGAGUAUCCUUGGUUAUCUGGGAUUGGGUAUAUUCUCUCAAAUCUAUUAUUGCUAUCCUUGACAUUUGACUCUCCUUUCUAAAUCUUGUAUCCUUCUGAGUAGACUCGAGAAUUAUUUUGAUAUCACGUGCGACUUGUAGACGUAUACGUAACGCGAUGCGUUAGUUCUUUAAGAUGUGAUAUGUGUAUAUAGAAGGUGAAGCGGUAGGUGUGUAACAUUAUGAUGAGUUGUGGGUGUUUUGUCCCUUGCAAACGAGCUUGCGGGUGUUAGGCUUAUGAUUGGCUAUGAGGUUGAAAAGUGCUUGACGGAGUUGGAAAGUUGAAGCCUUGAGGUUGAUAUGAGAUUAGUGUACGGAUGUUAAGCACGUCGUUUUAACCUCAUCAUGUUUUAUAGCCUUCGAUGCCUUGCUUUACUAUCACAUGUUUGAACCAUGUCAUCUUUGCUUUGUGAACGCUUAUCUUGAUUUGCACCCUAUUUUGGCACCUCAAGUUUUUGUGAGGCAUUGAGAUCAUAUGACCUUGUGCAUUGAGCCUAUCUUAUAACGUUUGCUUUACAAUCACACUCCUGCCUUUGUAUCUUUAUGCAUACGACCAUCCAAGUAUUUGAAAAUCGUAUAUAGGUUUAUAUGUUGAGAUAUUUUUGCUUCUUCCUUAAAUGUGUUCAAGGGUGAACUGUUAUGAGAUUUCUUUCGUUUUGUAUCAAUUUUCGAGGACGAAAAUUUUUAUAAGGUGGGUAGAAUGUAAGACCCAGAACCUUUGAAAAGUCUUUUUAUGAUCAAGUCUCAAAUCAUAUGGUUAUUUAUAGCCUUAAUUUCAGAAAUUAUUUUAUUAAAGGUAAUUAAGGCAAGUUUCGAUUUAUUGAAUUUGAGAUAAGUUAUGAUUAUUAUCCAAUUUUAUAAUUAUUAGAUUAUUUUCUAUAUUUGAAUUAUAAAGUUGAUAGUUAUGAAGUAAUAAGGAUUUUAUACAAUUUGGAUUAGAUAAGUAAUAUUUUAAAUGUUACUAUUGCUAUUUUGGAAAAAUGAAGAAAUUAAGUAUAUUAUUUCUAAUUAUUUGAUUUGGGCAUUUUAUUGAAAGUAAUUUGUAAAAAUUGAUGAGCAAAUAGUAUUUUCUAUAUACAUCUAGUGUUGGAUUUAAUUUGGAUUUCAAUUACUCUAUUCCCUAAUUUUAGUAAAGUUACCAAAGUUCCCCUAACCCUAGGUUUCAAAAAUGAAACCCUAACUCCCUUCAUCCUAGUAGCCGCAGCCUCACCUCCCUCAACACACACAGUUUGUUUCCCAUAACCCACGAAGAAAAACUCCUGCCAGGCAUGUCUCCGCCGUGAGUCGCGACCAGAGGGAAGAGAGAAAGACCAUGAGAGAAGCGUUGAGUCGGCGCCGAGCGGAGAGGGACUUGCCGCAGCCGUCGCGCGCCGCCGUGUGCCGUCACCACUGUCUGAACAGUCACCGUCACCUUGGGUGGAGUCCGCCGCUGUCGCCAGUGGAGGCCACUGCUGUGGAACAGACGUGUGAGAGGGAAGCAAGAUGAAUCCCCUCUGCUUCUGGUGCUCUGGUCCGCCGCUGCCGCCACCGGAAUCCUUGGGCGCCGCCGUUGUCCUUGUUGCCAUUAAAGGAAGCUAGCUGCCGCCGCCAUUCAGAUCCGCUACGGUCUCUGUCGGAAGCCACCAUGGGAGCUGUAGAAUGAGGGGUUUCUGCCACCUUUGAAACUCCAUUGCUGUUGUUGUCAUAGCCGCCACGCCGUUGGCUGCCGGGAUCAGUAUUGUGGCCCCAGAAACCGUCUUUUCUUGGUAAGCGUUUAUUUUUCGAAACCCCUUAAAGUUAGUGCCCUGUUAUACUUCGUUAGAGAUUCUGAGAUGUUGGUUACGCAGGGUUGAGUUCCGAUAAAUGUGCGUUGAAACUAAGGUUGUUGUUGAGCCACCGGAGCUUUUUGCUGCUACGGGGCUGUUGUCGGGUCGGUUCGGAAUCGCAGCUGUUCCUUUGUGUUAUUUUGGUAAGUAUAUUUCGAAGAGCCUCGCGUUAGUAUUUUGUUGUGUAUGGUUAAUGAAUAUGAGCUCUGAUAGCGUGGGGUCGAGUCCUGAUUAUUGUAUGUUGCGAUUAGUGUCGCUAUGAUUAUUGCGGAUGUGGCUUGAAGCUGAGGUUACGGUUGUUGAUGAUUUCUGGUUGAGGCGGAAAGGACUCUGUGACACGUUUGAGUUAUGGAAUUUGCGUUUUUUGGUAGGGGCGCUUUCCAAAAACUAUGUUUUAAGUAUUGGAAUUAUUACAUAUGGAUACUGUUGUGAGAUAUUGUGUAUUUGGUGAUUGUAUCUGCCUUAUGUGUUAUUUGAUUGACCCGAGUGAUUAUGGAUGUUGGUUUGGUUGAAUUGUUGUGCGGCUUUGUGAAAUGCAAUGUUUUGAAGUGAUUCUUUAAAGAUUUAAAAUCUGAGUUUAAUCCGUUGAGGAUUGAUUUGAUUUGAGUCAAUUAUUUGAUGAUGUGAAAAGUCGAAUGCACUUUUGAAUUCAGCCUGGUUUACUUUGAUUGACUUGAUCUUGGACAAAUGAAUUGUUACUGAACUGUUUCUUUAAAGCUUUGGAAAUGAGUUAAAUCGGUUGAUAUUGAGUUAAUUUUGAAAUGGUUUUCUUGAGAUAUGCCACUGAGGCGACUGUUGGAUUUAGCUUGCUUUGAAUUUAUUUCUGGUUUUGAGCUGUUGAAAAGGAAUGAGAAACGGUUUAGUUGGGACCCAAACGGGUGGCAAAAGUCCAAGUUUUAGGGGAGGUGCUACCGAAAUUUCUACAAAAUCCUAGUCUUGAUUGAAAAGUUAUUUAAAAAGUAUUGGAUUUGAGAAGUUGUAUUACUUGAUUUAUUAAGAGAAUAUUUAUAUUUUCAGGCUUAAUUUAUUUAGUGAACUUUAUGCCUUGAGUUUGACUUAUUUAGAAAUAAACUAUUUUUACCGUUUGAAUCACUGAAGGAAAGAAUGAUGCUCUAAUAUUGAUUUCAAUAUAAAAAGGAGCUUUUAGUAAUUUCAAAGGAAUCUAGACUUUCGAUUGAGUAAUUAAGUUUGAGGCAUUUUGGAAGAGUUAGAAAAAUGGGUUCCAAAAAGAAACCUGAAAGUGGUUUGAUUCAAAUGAACCGGUUCCUUUUCAAAUGAAUUGAUUUUUGGACCGAAUUGGAACUUGUGAUUUUGUUUGGUUGGUUUCAUAAUAAAUUCAGUUUUAUUUACUUGAACCGAGAAUCCAUGAUUUUAAGAGUUUCAAUGAAUUUUAAGGAAUUGAUAUAGGUUGACCUUCCCUAAAGACUUGGGACUCUGCCGAGAAGCUUUUAUUAUAACNNNNNNNNNNNNNNNNNNNNNNNNNNNNNNNNNNNNNNNNNNNNNNNNNNNNNNNNNNNNNNNNNNNNNNNNNNNNNNNNNNNNNNNNNNNNNNNNNNNNNNNNNNNNNNNNNNNNNNNNNNNNNNNNNNNNNNNNNNNNNNAAAUGAGUUAUGUUAUUCUCCCCUAAAGACUUGGGACUCUGCCGAGAAACUUUGUUAUAAAAUCCCAUUGUGGAAUGGGCGAUUUUGAUUGUUCCCAAAUUGAAUCUUUAACUUUCCAUGGUUUUGGAAGUCUUGGAAAGAGGAUGCCGAGAGCGGCUUUGUUUUUAAACAGGGAACUCACUUGAGUAAAUUUGGCUUAUGAGCCUGAGAUGAUUUGAGAAAUGAGAUCUUUAAAGCCAGGGCUGAAAAGAGUUGAAAUUUGAUUUCAAAGUGAAAUGGCUUGAGAAAAGUGAUUUGUGACUUAAAUGCCAGUUUUAUGAAUUUGAUGAUGUUGAAUGGUGGAAGUGCUGUUUUGUUAUGGGCCGGAAUGGCUGUGUAUGAUUAUGAAUAUUGGCUGGUUCUGGAUUGAACCAUGAGCCGGAAUGGCUGUGUAUGAUAUUGAUUUAUGGCUGAUUGCCGAAUGAGUUAUGGGCCGUAUGGCUGACUAUGAAUUAUGAAUUUAAGCCGGAUGGCUGAGAUGGAUGUUGAUCCAUGGCUGGGACUGAAUGAAUAUAUGCUUGAGAUAUCUGGGUAGUAGCAAGGGUUGUGGUUCGUCCCACUUGCUCCAGGUCAGAGACUGUGACGCCUAGGUAGUAGUGGUAGUAGUGGUGAUUCCACUCGCUCCAGGUUGAGCUUUUAAACACCCGCCUGGGUAGUAGCCGUAGUAGUGGUUAUUCCACUAGCUCUGGGUUUAGCGGGUAGUAGCAAUGGGGUUGUAGCUCAAACCUACUUGCUUCGCGAUGGGUGUUUCUGUCCAUGGUUAGCUACCAUGACGUGUCAAGUUGGCUAUAUAACCGACAGAUGAUAUCAUCAGCCACUAGGGACAGGCAUGCAUCAUAUGCAUCUAUGUGACAUUAUUUAGGUGUGCAUAUUGUACUUGGUUUGCCUAUGUGAUUAACUGCUAAUUGUUCUACUUGCUGUAAUUAUUUGUUUGUGCUUGAACUUCCUAUCUGUGUUUGCAACUGGGACUCCGUUGGUUUGUGGAGAUUGGUUGAUGGUUGGAUUGUUUGGAAAAGUAUGAAAUGCUAUUUUGGUUCCGCAUAGAUAAACCGUUUUGAAAGGCUUUUGAGUUUUUGAGAAUUGAACGGUUCUUCUUUCUGAAAAGAUUUCCGACUUUACUUUCAUUGUAAACCGUUGUUUUUGAAAAGAGGCAUGAGACGGUUAUUAAUCACUGGUGCGGUUAUCUUCAUGUAUCAUAUUACAAUAACUCCCAAAAACCCUCUACUGAGAACCCUUUCGAGGAUGAUGUUCUCACCCCCCUACAUUUUUUCCCUUUCAGGAUAUGAGCGCAGAAGUCACGAAGAGUUUAUUUAGUUGUUGUUGAAAUGCUCUGUAUUGCUUUAGGUUAUUAUUUGUACCCUUGCCUUUAUCUUGAGAUAUUCUGUAAGAGGGAUAGGAAUUGUGUUGUCUAAUGCUUGUAUAUAUAUAUAUGUGUGUGUGUGUGUGUGUGUGUGUGUGUGUGUGUGUGUGUGUGUGUGUGUGUGUGUGUGUGUGUGUGUGUAUGGAUGUACUCUUUAUGAGCUUUUGUAAGUUGUAUGGUAUUUAUGGAUGUACGUUAUCGAACGAAAGUAUUUCUUGGGACGGUAUUGCGGUUUAAAGUUUUAAACAGGCUCAUAUUUUAGUAUUAAAUAAUAUAAGUGUCGUCGUAAUGUCCGAGCUAUCAGAGUCGCGCAGCCGGAAGCGUGAGCUUUGGUAGUUAGAGUGUUACAGAGGAGGUGAGGGUGAAUGAAUGGGCUUCAGUGUUCCGUGUAGGCUCUUUAGGGUUAAGGUAAUUUAGAAGUUUUAUUUACAUACCGGUUCAGUUUGGCUUGGUUUAGGUUUUCUCAGCCAGAACCAAAAAUCGAAUCAAACCAAACGAAAAACUAAAAAACUUAAUUUUUCGGUUAUUUCAAUUUUUGUUUAUUUCGGUUUUCAUUGUUCGGUUCAUCGGUUUUGUUCAGUUUGGAUUAAUUUUGAACACUCCUAGUAACCACUGUGCUAGGUAUUUUAACUAUUGCAAUGUCAUCAUACACGAUAGUUACCACUGUGGUGUCACCAUGCACGGUGAUUGCUGCCACUAUUUUUUACUGAUAGUAUAAUAUCUAUCUGUAUGUAAAAAUUUAGAAAGUAGUAAACAUUAGUAUGGUAAGUGUCUAUGCAUAUGUAUGCUGCCCCUUUCAGGAACUUUUUCCAUUUUUAAAAGAUGGUUAUAGUUCUUUGUAAAUAUGGAUAGUAGAUAGUUUUUCCUGUAGAUAGUUUUUUGAUAUAAUGCCUGUCGAGAUCCCAGCUGUCUUGAGUGAAUGAACCCUUAGGUCCUUGGUGUCUUGCCUCUUUCUGACGAGGCUUCCUCAAGUAGUAUUUUAGAAAAUGACCCCCUCUUCAAAAGGUCAAACGAUGCGACUAAUUAUGAGGUUGUAUUUCUGUGUGAGCAGGAGAAUAUCUGUUACCCCCAAAUUCCUUUUGUGAGAUCUCCUUAUUUUCUGUAUCUUUAUGAAUGUUUCUUUGUCAGAGUACGGAUGAAGUUUUUUUUUUUUUACUCUUGAAUCUCAAAUUCUAAUAGAUUGUAAAGUCGUCCCUUUUUAACUCCAUCCAAAUUCAUGGGUCUUUAUUUGAGCUUACGAGAUAGUUUGUAGGUUUUUAAAGUUAAUUUCUUCUCCUUUUUUACUAUUUUUUUCAGCUAACUAAGCCUUUUAGUGUGAGAGGAUAAUAACAAUGGGCUUUGUUUUGGACUCUUGUUGAAAAAAUUUCUAUAUUUUUGACUAAUUUUUUUAUGAUUUUCAAGAAAGGUGUUACCGCUUUCUUUUUCUCCGAGGAUGUCACCACUAAAUAUAAUUUUUACUGGUCGAAAGUCGAGGAUCCANNNNNNNNNNNNNNNNNNNNNNNNNNNNNNNNNNNNNNNNNNNNNNNNNNNNNNNNNNNNNNNNNNNNNNNNNNNNNNNNNNNNNNNNNNNNNNNNNNNNNNNNNNNNNNNNNNNNNNNNNNNNNNNNNNNNNNNNNNNNNNNNNNNNNNNNNNNNNNNNNNNNNNNNNNNNNNNNNNNNNNNNNUCAACACUAAGAUGAUAUUGUCUCAGCCACUUUUGGACCCACUUAGCUUCUAUAUUAGUAAUAUUAUACAUUGUAAAAGGGUCACACUAUGGUACAGAAGUAAGUUGAUACAGAUUUACAGAUAUUCUUUUUAGUUUAAUAUUGUAACAACAUGUGGUCUGAGUUAUUUUCUUCAAGAGUCAGAUUUACAGGACUGAGCGUUAGUGCAGUGGCUUGCUUAAUUUACCCUUAACCAAUAUUUUAUGGCUUAGAUGAAUGUAGUAUGUUGACUCCGUUAUUACAAGCUCAGCCUUAUAUAUAGUUGGACUAAGUUUUUGGGCUGUGAAUUUUGUUUGUAAGGCAAGUGAAAUUCAUUAAAAAAAUUUCAUAGCCUAGACUCUACAGGAACAUUUUUUGUUUUUAAUUCGUUUGUGAUCAUUAACAUAUUUUACAUUAAAUUAUCCUCUUUAGAUAUUCAUCCAUUAUUGUCCUCGGGCAAUAACUUGGCAUUUUCUCCUUUUCGAAUAGAUGAUAUUAUUUUGUCAAUUGAUUAGUUAAAGUUUGUGGAUAUUUUAGUCUCUUAAAAUAAAUUAAGUGAAAAUUUUAGUUUUUUUUAAAUAAAAUUUAAAUAUCUGAUAUCUCUUAUAAUUAAUCAACAAUAUUAGGGUAAAUGAUCAAAACAAAUUAUUUUGGUUCUAAUAUUAAGGAUAUGUUCUAAACGAGAUAUUGUUGUAUUUUUGCCAUUUUUGAUUUUAUGCAAAUCGUUGUAGCUAGUAAUGAUUUUAUGUUUAUAUCAGUACAAAAAAAAUAUUGAGUACCGUUGGAUUUAGCGUCGGUCUUUAGUGGCGAGAUUUUCGUCAAAUUUACCGACAAUAAUGAUGUCGAAUUCGUAAAGUUUAGUAAUUAUCAGCGAAUUUUGAAAUCCAAUGGUAACUCGAUGGUAAGUAUUGGAGUGAAACAAAAAUAAAAUGGCGUGUUUUUUACCGUCGGAUUUAUCAGCGAAUUUUUUCAACGAUAAAGCCAAUUAGUGAAACAAUGUGUUUUGGUGACUGUAAAAGUUUUACCGUUAAAAAGUCCGACGGUAACUGGAACGUAAAUUCAAAAUGUGAACCCUUUUCCCCUCAUUCAGAUUCAUUUUCCCUCUCACUAAACCACCAAAACUACCCUCUCCUUCCCUCUCCCUUCCCUCUCCCCAAAACGACACUCUGUCGUCACCGACAUUGCCACCACCACAGCCCCCUCUCCGUCGCCGUCAGCCAACCCAGCCUUGAGACCCCUUCGUUCUUCUUCUUCUUCUUCUUAUUCACCGUUAAACUUUUUCGUUCUCUGAACCACCGCACCGCACCACAUAGCCAUUACCGUAGCUCCCCAGCUUUGCUUCUCUCGUGUCUGCUCGUUACUGCCACCACCAUAGCUACUGUCUAGCUUGUCCUCUUCGAAUCGAUUCUGUCUCUGCAUCAAUAGGUAAUAGAUUCAAAUGCGAAUAUUAAAAUAGAAGUUUGUAUGCUUAAUGCUGAUGCAUGUUAAAAUUCGAUUAGAUCAUACUUUGUUUUGUUAACUGAAAUCUCUAUAUUAGGCUAAAAUAUUUUGUUGUAUAUUGAAAAAAUUGUUAAGCUAUCCAUUUCAAUAGAUCCAAAAAUGUUUGAGAAAUUAAUCCGAAAUAAUUCAACAGUACUCAUUAUUUUUCUUGUAAUGUAUAUAAUUAUUUAUGUAGCAACGAUUUAUCAACGAAAGUGUUCAUGUGGUAAAUCGUGCUAAGCAACAAUGAUUUAUAUAUAAUACAUAAAAAUGUUGCGUUCUUUAAUUUUUAUUUUUUAAAUUAUUUUAUUUAUACGUUAAAAAAUAAAAACAGAAUACAAAUGUUUUGACCUUUUUUAUUGAUUUAGGUAAUUUGCUUCUACAAAAAACAAAAAUUAGAGAUAAGAUGAAUAUUUAAAAUUGAGGUGAGGCAAAAAUCUACACAAGUCAAAUCAUGUUUCAAAUACAUGAACCAUGAACCAAAAAGAAAAUACGAAUGGUAGAAAAUUUGAACAAAUUAAAAUAAAAUACUAAUAAAUUGAAGACUAGACCAACAAUUAAAAAUUUUAUUUAAAAUAAAAAAUUAAACUUAUAUAAAGAUAUGGUGUAAUAUGAAGAAGUAACACCUUUAAAAAAUGUCUAAUAAUUUUAUUUCUUUUUAAAUAUUCAACAAUUAAACAAAAAGUGACACAUAAAUAGUUGAUGAAAUUAACUCUGCAGUGUAAUUCUAUAACUAUUUUUGAAAAGAGGGUUACGUAGAUAGUGGAAUUCUGACGUGUCCUUCCCCAUAGCUUUUCUAACACUUGCUUCAAAUAUUAUAUUCAUAUUCAAUUAUUCAUAAAUCCAUAUAUUUAUAUCCUUCUUGCCAUAUUCUCUCUCAUGGAUAUAUCACCAUUCAUAUGUACAUAAUACUACAAGCUUGCAAGUCACUAUUUAUGUAAAUAAUGUCAUUAUUUAACAUUAACAGUACCCCAAAUUUCAAAUUUCAAAUUUUGAAUUCAAAGUAACAAUUUGAAAAAGAAUAAUAUUUCAUCAAUUAUUUCUGUUUUUGUUUUUAUUUUCUCCUCGCCUCUUCUUUCUUCUUCUUCGAUUCCACCACCUCUAUUUCUUUCAUCUUCAAUUUUUUUCCACUAUCUAUUUCUGUUUCUCUCUUCUUCUUCAGAUCUCAUGCUUGCCACUCUUAUUGUCACCCUUUCCUUCCCAAGCUUCUAUUCAAAUCCAGAAGCUAUUACUGUUCCUUCUCUUCCCAGUGACGUUACGUUACCGUUUUCCACCUCAUUUUCUGUAUUCUAUUUUUUUGAGUCUAUAUUUCAAUGAUCCCUCUUUAAUUUCAUGCCAUAUCUAACAUCUUGCUUUGUUGCUUAAUAAUGUGUGCUGGCAUCUUUUCAGGGUAGUCAAUAGGUCAAGGGAUAGCAUAUGUGCGAGAUAACGAAGGGUUCUUUUCUUCAUUAUCUGAUUCUAUUAUUCUUCAUCUCAGAUUUCUUUGUCACCAGACAACCAGCCAUUCAGUGAUGCCGUUCCAGGACUCGGAGCUGAAUGAGGUGCAUUGACGAUUAGAUUCUUGCUAGUAAAGAAUUUUAUAAAAAUAAUCACGUUGUAGGUAUAGUUUCUAAAGCAACAGAGAAUCCUUUCGUAUAAAAGUUUUGGUUGUCACUUAAGCAAACCCGAUAAAAUUGAUAACCGAAGUAUUGAAACCUCGGGUCGUCUCUCAAGGAAUUACAGGGAGAUGUGUUUAUUAUUGGUUAUGGAAAAGAGUAUGUUUUUGGGUUUUUGAAAUAAGGAACAAUUAAUUUAAAUGGCAAGAAAAAUAAAUUAAUAAUUAGAAAAACUCUUGGCAAGGUAUGAGAACUGGAAAUUCCAUCCUAGUUAUCCUUAUCAGGUGUGAUGAGAAUUGUUUAUUGCUCCCACUUAGUUAACCCUUACCAAAUAAAGGAAAGUCAAGUGGACUAAUCAACUUGAUUCUCCAAGUCCUAGUCAACUCCUAUGGAAAGACUAGCUUUAGAGGGAUCCAAAUCAAUCAGCAAAUUCCAAUUUUCAAUCAACAGCUGAGUUUGAUAACUCAAGUGUUACCAAUUACUCCACCAAAGCCAAAAGGGGAAAAAUUCAAAUUAUUUAUAUCAUAAAUAAAAGAAAGCAAUCAUAAAUCUGAAAUACCUCAAUUUGUAUUAAAUAAGAAAAUCAAUUCUAACAUGAAGAGUUCAUAAGCCAAUUUGGAAACAUAAGUAAUUAGCAAGUGAAAUAGAGAAACUAAAUUAAUUGAGUAAAUAAAAGUAGAAGAGAAACAUAAAUUAAAGGAACAUUGAACCUGGAAUGAAGAAGAAGUAAACCUAACUUUUAAGAGGAAUCCUAAUCCUAAAUCCUAAGAGAGAGGAGAGAGCCUCUCUCUCUCUAAAACUACAUCUAAAAUCUAAAAUUGUGAAUAUGAAUGUUGUUUUAUGAAUGGAUUGAUUCCCCCACUUUAUAGCCUCUAAUCUGUAUUUUUUGGGCUGAAAACUGGGUCAAAAACAGCCCAGAAAUCGCCCCCAUCGAUUUUUGAUACGUCCAGCACGUGGCAAAGUCACGCGUGAGCGUCGUCCACGCGUGGGUGUGGAUUGGAUUUUUGCCAGGUCACGCGUGCGUGUGAUCCACGCGUGCGCAUCAUCUAUCUUCAGGGCAGCUAUGACAAAUUAUAUAUUGUUGUGAAGCCCCAAAAUUUAGCUUUUUAAUGCAACUGAAACCGCCUCAUUUGAAGCUCUGUAGCUCAAGUUAUGGUCGAUUUAGUACCAAGAGGUCAGGCUGGACAGCUUUAACAGUUCCUUCAGUUUCUUGUAUUACUUCCACUUUUGCAUGCUUCUUUUUCAUCCUCUAAUCCAUUCCUACCCUAUAAACCCUGAAAUCACUUAACCCACAUAUCAAGACAUUGAAUGGUAAUAAGAGAUGAUUAAGAUUAGCAAAUAUAAGGCCAAAGAAGCAUGUUUUUAAUCAUAGCACAAAAUCAGGAAGGAAAACGUAAAACAUGCGAAUUGUAUGAAUAAGUGUGAGAAUAAUGGAUAAAAUCCACUAGAUUAAGCACAGGAUAAACUCUAAAAAUGGGGUUUAUCAACCUCCCCACACUUAAACAUUAGCAUGUCCUCAUGCUAAGCUCAAGAGAAACUAUAAGAGUGAAGAGGAAUGGUAGAAAGUAUGAACGACAACCUAUCUAUAUGAAUGCAACUACAUGCAAAAUAUUUCUACCUACUUGGUGAAAAGUAAAUAAAUCUUUCAAGAACAAAUAUGAACUGGAUUUCACUAAUUCAAAUCAUAAAAAUGAAGUACAAAUAGACUUGAAGAAGAAAAUAGCUCAUGAAAGCCGGGAACAAAGAAUCGAGCAUCAAACCCUCACUGGAAGUGUAUGCACUCUAAUCGCUCAGGUGUUUAAGGUUCGAUCUCUUAAUUCUCUACUAAUCUUGCUUUCUAAGGCUUGCUCUUCAUCUAACAAUCAACAAAAAUUUAAUGCACAAAUACACAUAUCAAGAGAUCUUUUAAGGGUUGUAAUGGGGUUAGGGUCAAUGUAGGAUUGUAUUUGGCCAAGUGGACUAAAAUCUGAAUCCUUAAUUAACUUAAACUUUUCCCACCUAACUUAAGACAAUCCAUGUAAUUACAAUACAUAACCUAACUAUCCAUUAACCAUGUUUUCUACAUAUUCUUGCAUCCUAUUUUGAGUACAGUACACAUGCAUUGCUUUCACCAUUUACUUUGGGGCAUUUCGUCCCCUUUUAUUAUUUGCUCUUUUUCUUUUCUUUUCUUUUCUUUUUUUAUAUAUUUUUUUCUUUUAUUUUUCUUUUGUUUUUCUCUUUUUUUUUCUUUUUGAUGAAUUAUAUACAAAGGUACCAACGCAUAUGGUUUAAACAUUUAAUACAUGAGUAUGUACCCAAUUUAUUUUUCUCAAUGCAUAUGAUUAAAUUAUUGAAUGCAUGAACAUGUCCUAAAUAUUUCUUUCACAUUUUCAUAAAGAUAUAUAACACCCAAUUCUUAAACCAAACAUUUCCAAAUCCAACUUCCCCACACUUAAUUCAUGAGCACUCUCACUAGUCUAAGCUAACCAAGGAUUCAAAUUAAGGACAUUAUUAUUUUCUGCUUAGAGUUAGUGAUGAGCUAAAGUAAAGAACAAAGGGGUAUAAUAGGCUCAACAUUGGUUUGCAAAGGAUAAUGAAAGGGUAAGGCCAUAUGGGUAUGUAAUCUUAGUGAAACAAAGGCCUCAAUCAUAUAAGUGUAUGCAUACAUCAAACAAUGGAAAUAUAGAAUUAAGCAAGACAAAGAUCACAAUUUCAGAGAGAACAACACAUACUAAAAAUAAACUAUUGGUUAAAAAAAUGCAACCAAUUCAAAUAAGCUCAAAAAUCUCACAGGUUUUGUGUGUUCGAGCUCUAAACAAUGUUCAAAUAUAAUAUUCCUUCAAACAAGUAUAUCAAAAAUUUUAAAUCAAAUUAGUGAAAUGUUAUAAAAAGUUUCUUGUAAAAGAAAAUAUUACUUUAACCAAGUGGUGGUAAAAUAAACACAAAAUCAAGCAAACAUGCAAUCAAACAUGCAAAUGCAACCAUGAACAAACAAAGAAAAUAAAACAUUGGUGUUGAGAAGAAAAUAACUAACCCACGGAAGUCGGUAUCGACCUCCCCAUACUUAAAGAUUGCACCGUCCUCGGUGCAUGUUGAGAUGUGCAAGUGGAUGGGUGGCUCCAACUGACGCUUUUCUCCAAAGAUUGUGCAGAUGGACUUGUUUGUCUCCCCAUUUAGAAGUUUUUCCUUUCCCUUCUUCAGUGGCCAUCCUGAAAGAAGAGGAAAAGGAAGAAAAGUAACCUAGAAAUAAAGAUAAGAAAACAAAUAAAAUAUGGUGUUAAUGCCAAAUAAUAAGGUUCUCAAUUACAUGGUAGCUACAACAUGCAAGUGAGAAAAUAGUGGAAGCAAAUAGCAUAUCAAUAGUGCAAAAGUUGCAACAAUGGGGAGAAUGCAAUAUAAAUUCAUGUCACUACAAAAGGAACACAUGUAUCAUACAAAUUGGCAUUUGACAAAUAAAUAAUAUCGCCCAAUAAUGUAAAACAAGUCACUAAGCACCAAAAUAAUACUAGAAAAGACACAACAGUUGAAUAAGAACAUGUGACAUCAAUGUAAAAAGAAUAACUUUAGAAAGAAAAAAAAAUAAGCACAAAAUUAAAAUGCAAUGAAUGAAAAUAUGCAAUUAAGUAAAAUAGAAUGAAAGUGAAGAAGGAUGAGAAGUUAAAAAGAUGAAGAAGAAGAAAGUAAGAAAGAAUGAAGAAAGAAGUAGAAAGGAGAGAAGAAAGAAGUAAGAAUUUAAAAACAGGGCGUGACGCGUACGCGUGCAUCACGCAUACGCGUGGGUGGUCUGAAAGCGAAAUGACGUGUACGCAUCAGGGACGCGUUCGUGUGGAAUGAUUUUUGUGCCACUAGCACAGUUCCAUCGCAAGGGCAGCACAACUCUCUGUUCAGGUGCUCUUUACGCCGAUUUUCAUCCCACGCGUACGCAUCGCCGACGCUUAUGCGUGGGUUGAGCUUCUGCAGGGGAUGCAUACGCGUGAGGUAUGCGUACACGUAGGGUGGCUUGUGCUUCACGCACCCCUCCGGCGCGUCUUUUGCGCAACUCACUGUCUAGUUGCGCAAACACAUACGACGCGUGCGCGUCGUUGACGCUUGCGCGUCGAUCCCCCUUUUUUUUAAUGCAGAAUGCAAAAUGCAGAAUGCAUAUGACUAUGCAAAAAUUAUGAAUGAACACAAUUAAAAAUAAAAUAAAAUAAAACUAAGAACAAAAAGGAAGGAAUAUACCAUGGUGGGUUAUCUCCCACCUAGUAGUUUUAAUUAAAGUCCUUAAGUUGGACAUUUGGUGAGUCCCUUGUUAUGGUGGCUUGUGCUUGAACUCAUCCAGGAAUCCCCACCAGUGUUUGUAAUUCUAAUAGCCUCCGGGAUCCCACACUAGUUGCAUAAAGCCUUCAAGCAAGUUAAAGCAAGUGACAAGGCCCCAAGAGUGUUGAUUGCUAGAAUGAAUUCUGGGGUCCCAAACCUUGCUUUUGCACCCGUCUUCUUGUUGAUCAUCAUUUUUCCACUUGGGUGGUGAGCAAUCGGAAUUCUCACUGAGAAAUCCAAAAAACUUUCUAGACCCAUUCAAUUGAGAAUUAUACCAACCUUUGUACUUCAAUUUGGAGCAUGCAACCAUAUUGAACCUUGUAUGACAAUUCUUACCACUAACCAUCUCCCUCUUACUCUUAAAGCCACAAAGAGCUCUAAGCUGACCAUCUGUCUCGAGCAAAGCAUAUUCAAGUGGGCUAAUUAAGCUUAGAGAUGAAAGAUUUACCCACUUGAAUGAAGGAAUGGAUGGUGAUGGCUUUGGGGGAGAGGUCUCCAACAUCUUUGGCAAGGUGAUUUCCAGCUCUAUCCCUUUGAGUUCUUCCUUGACAACUUCUACCUCUUUGCAAGCUUCUUCAAUAUCAACCUCUUCCUCUUGGUAGCUUUCUUUCAAAUCGAUCUCUUCUUCAUUGUUCACCAAGGGCAUGGGAGGUUGUGCUUCUUCUUCUUUAAUCUCCAUGUCAAGUCCAAUGGGAGAGUAUUCAAAUGUAGAUAAGAAUUCAUCAAUGAUUGAAUCCAUUUCUUGAUCAUCCCCUUCAAAGUCUUCAACCAUGAUAUGCCUUGGAGGUUGUACACCCUCCUCAACAUCAAAUUCAAACUCCUUAGAAGGGGGCUCUAUGACUGGGCUUUCCCAUAGAUGUUCCGCAUCUCCUAAGUCUUCAACCACUUCUUCCUCUUUAACGAUUACGGCUUCCUCCACUUGUUCUAGUACAAAGUCAUGCUCCUUACUGUCGACCGGAGUUUCUAGUAUCUCCUUCAUGCUACUUUCUUCAUUAGAUUCUCCACAUGAAGCCAUGGGGGUUCCUUGAGUGUCCAAACUUCGGAAAGCUAAUUGAUUUAUCGCUUGCUCCAGUUGAUGAAGAGUUGCAUGAAAUUGAUCUACUGUUUCCUUGAGGCGAGCUUGUGAUUCUUGGUUGAUGGAUAUGGACAUGGUGCAUAUGGAAGUAGUGGUUCUUGGGGGUAAUUAGAUUGGAAUUGGGGUAGGUAAGGGUUAGGGUCAUAUGGAGGUGAAUGGUUGUAGGUGGCUUGUGAGUAUGGUGGUUCAAAGCUAUGUUAAGGAGGUGGUUCAUUGGCAUAUGAUGGGGCUUGUUGGUAACUACAAGGGGGUCUACCAUAUCUAUCAUAUUGGUAUGCACCUCGGAAUGGCUCUUGACCAUAGUAACUUGGUGGAGGUGGUUUGUCACGAAAAGGUCCACCAUAACUAUUGUCUUGGCAUGCAUUGUAGGAUGGUCGUUGUCCAUGGUAUCUUGGAAGGUGUUGUUACCGAAAGGGUUGAUCAGAUCCUCAUGGCUCCUUCCAUCUGUGAUCGUUUUGACCUUGACACAUGUUCCUGUUAUAGCUUCCAUUCCUUUCAACAACAUUAGAACCAACUCAAAGCGACGGGGGUGAGAACUCAUAGUAGCUAAUAAAAAUUAAAAACAAAAAAAAAUAAAAACGAAUAAACAAGCAAAAUAAAAUAUUUACAAUAACCAAUAAUAAGGCACACAUUUGCAAUUCCCCAGCAACGGCACCAUUUUGACGAUUAGAUUCUUGCUAGUAAAGAAUUUUAUAAAAAUAAUCACGUUGUAGGUAUAGUUUCUAAACCAACAGAGAAUUCUUUCGUACAAAAGUUUUGGUUUUCACUUAAGCAAACCCAAUAAAAUUGAUAACAGAAGUAUUGAAACCUCGGGUCGUCUCUCAAGGAAUUGCAGGGAGGUGUGUUUAUUAUUGGUUAUGGAAAAGGGUAUGUUUUUGGGUUUUUGAAAUAAGGAACAAUUAAUUUAAAUGGCAAGAAAAAUAAAUUAAUAAUUAGAAAAACUCUUGGCAAGGUAUGAGAACUGGAAAUCCCAUCCUAGUUAUCCUUAUCAGGUGUGAUGAGAAUUGUUUAUUGCUCCAACUUAGUUAACUCUUACCAAAUAAAGGAAAGUCAAGUGGACUAAUCAACUUGAUUCCUCAAGUCCUAGUCAACUCCUAUGGAAAGACUAGCUUUAGAGGGAUCCAAAUCAAUCAACAAAUUCUAAUUUUCAAUCAACAGCUGAGUUUGAUAACUCAAGUGUCACCAAUUACUCCACCAAAGCCAAAAGGGAAAAAAUCCAAAAUAUUUAUAUCAUAAAUAAAAGAAAGCAAUCAUAAAUUUGAAAUACCUCAAUUUGUAUUAAAUAAGAAAAUCAAUUCUAACAUGAAGAGUUCAUAAGCCAAUUUGGGAACAUAAGUAAUUAGCAAGUGAAAUAGAGAAACUAAAGUAAUUGAGUAAAUAAAAGUAGAAGAGAAAUAUAAAUUAAAGGAACAUUGAACCUGGAAUGAAGAAGAAGUAAACCUAACCUUUAAGAGGAAUCCUAAUCCUAAAUCCUAAGAGAGAGGAGAGAGCCUCUCUCUCUCUAAAACUACAUCUAAAACCUAAAAUUGUGAAUAUGAAUGUUGUUUUAUGAAUGGAUUGAUUCUCCCACGUUAUAGCCUCUAAUCUAUGUUUUUGGGUCGAAAACUGGGUCAAAAAUAGCCCAGAAAUCGCCCCCAACGAUUUCUGAUACGUCCAGCACGCGGCAAAGUCACGCGUGAGCGUCGUCCACGCGUGGGUGUGGAUUGGAUUUUUGCUAGGUCACGCAUGCGCGUGAUUCACGCGUGCGCAUUAUCUAUCUUCAUUUUCAACGCAACUGAAACCGCCUCAUUUGGAGCUCUGUAGCUCAAGUUAUGGUCGAUUUAGUACCAAGAGGUCAGGUUGGACAGCUUUAGCAGUUCCUUCAGUUUCUUGUAUUCCUUUUACUUUUGCAUGCUUCCUUUUCAUCCUCUAAGUCAUUCCUACCCUAUAAACCCUGAAAUCACUUAACACACAUAUCAAGGCAUCGAAUGGUAAUAAGAGAGGAUUAAGAUUAGCAAAUAUAAGGCCAAAGAAGCAUGUUUUCAAUCAUAGCACAAAAUCAGGAAGGAAAACGUAAAACAUGCGAAUUGUAUGAAUAUGUGUGAGAAUAAUGGAUAAAAUCCACUAGAUUAAGCACAAGAUAAACUCUAAAAAUGGGGUUUAUCACUCAUACCAGAGCGCUAGGGCUUAGGAUAACCGCCGCAAGGAGGCGCGUUAGGUCAACGUCAUUGGCGACAUUCACAUGAACAAAGGAGAUACGUCGAAGCCUUCAAAUGGCUCUGAAUCCGAAUCGAUUAUGAAGUUCUACUAAAAUACUUGUUGGGAAAGGACUUGCUCCCUGCCUGCCAAUCCCUUGGCGAGAUGUACCUAGGGGUGAGCACGGGUCGGUUUGGUUCGGGUUUAUGGUAAAAUUAGAACCGAACCGAUCAAAAUGUAAUUGGUUCGGUUUGGUUCGGAUUUGCAUUUGUACAUGUACCCGAACCAAACCAAACCGAUUAAGAAUUGAUUGAUUCGGUUCGGGUAAUUGGGUACCCGAUGACUUUGAAAUUCAUAAAAAAAAUCCAAAUUUUUAUCUUAAAAAUUCAACAAGUACAAUAAACAUGUAACAUCAAUAGAAAUAAUUCAAACAUGUUAAACACCAAAUACAUUAAAAACUAAACUCAUUAAAGUCCAAACAUAUUAAUAAUGAAUAAUUAUUGUCUAACGAAAAAGCCAUAUUUAUUUUUUUAUUUUUUUUAUUUAAUUAAUAUAUGAUCGGGUUCGCGGGUUGGUUCGGGUUCCACACCCCCAAAAUCGAUACCCGAACCAAUCACUAACAAAAGCCAUCGGUUUGGUUUGGGUUAGACCCGAUUACCCGUUUGUUUCAUAACCAAUUUAAUUGGUUCGGUUCGAGUUCGAACGGGUAAUUGGGUACCCGCUACCGUGCUCACCCCUAGAUGUACCUUUGCCUCGAGCAGUUUUCUGAUGCUCUACCUUACAAGGUAAUACUCUAAUUUCUUCUCCAUUUUUUAUUUCCAAUCUGUUCCUCAACGUUGCGAAUUUUCCUCUUUCGAUUGUAGAAGAUGCAGUUAGACCUUGCAAGGAAUUCCCCUUGCCAAGGUUUCCUUAGUUUUCUUGCUCUUUGCGGCAUCCUCCACUACGUCAGGGCAAUCAGUGACGAGUUUUGAGUGAUUGGAAGGGUAGAGUUGAGGGUUUCUCCAUUGGUCUACCUUUUGGUUUGCAUUAGAUUUUCAAGCGUGAAUGGAUGUUGGAGUUUUCCAAUAUUUAGGUCACUUUCUCCAUCUCUCUCUUUCUCAUUCAUCAGUUAGUGUUUAUGAUAGCUUUAUAGUUCGUAAUGCAUUUUUGUGUAUUGUAAGACCCAAGAUUUUUGAAAAGUCCUAUUUUGAAUCAAUCUCAAAUUAUAUAUUUAUUUAUGGUUUUAAUUUCAGAAAUUAUUUUUAUUAAAAAUAAUUGAAGGCAAUUAAUUGGACUUGAAAUAAAUUAAGGUUUUUAUCCAAACUCUAUACCCAUGGAUUAUUUUCCUAUUUAUGAUUUAAAGUUCUGGAAAUUCGAAAAAUAUAUUAUCUCUAAUUCUUGAAUUUGAGUACUAAUUCGAAAAUAAAUCAUAAUUUGAUAAUUAGAUAGUAUUUUUAUAAAUAUUAUUAUUGGAUUAAAAUAGGUUUUCAAUUAUUCUAUUACCCCUAAUUUUAUUCAAAAUUACUAAACUAUUCCUAACCCUAAUUUCUAACCACACACUCACCUCACCCACACCUACCGCCACUCUCCUUACUCACCACAACACAUACACAACGCACUACACCCUUUACACACACAGCAACAACUUCAAAAAAAAAAGAAACAAAAAGAAAGAAAGGGGAAGAAGGAAGGGGGGCCGAGGAAGGAAGGAGUGAGGCGGCGCGGUGGGUGUCACUGCCACCAUCACCGCCGCUGCUGAUAGAGGAGAGAGAGGAUAUCUGAGAGAGAAAGAGAGUGUCACGAGGGAGCCGCACACUGCUCAGGAUCGCCGUCGCAUCGCGUCGCGUCGCCGACGCGACGCCGUUUGCGCCAGCGCCGAGGAGGACCGCGCGAAAAGGACCGCCGUUUUGCGCCGCCACUGUGGCUCUUGUCACCGCCGAACCUGUCGCCGUCGCCACUAACUUCCACCACCGUCGAGGUUGUCGCGAAUGGGAGAGGAUGAAGCUGCCCAUGUCGCCGCCGUGAGGAGCCGCGAGUCCCGUCACCGUCAUCAUCACAAAUGGUGUUGCCGUUGUGGUCGAACCCAGCCGCCACCAUCGCAAGCUCCGUCGCCACCGUUGGAGGUGGGUUGCUGAGCCGGUGUCGCCGAAAAAUGGUGUUGUCGUAGCUGAGGUCCAUUGCCGGUAAGGGUUUUCUUUUUUAGGUUGGUCUCUGUUCUUGUGGGUUUCGGAAAGAUUAUUGUCACUGCGUGGUUGUUACAAUUGCCGUCGCUGAGCUUCUGGCCGCCGGGAACGGUGCUGUGGCCGCUGGAACCUUGGUUUGUGUCGCUGCCAUUAGUCACUGAUAGAGGUAUCUCUGCUGCCUCUAUUUUGCUUUAGGUCCUUCGCUUUUACUUUUACUUUUCUUUUAUCCUAUUUUCUGCUACUGUUAGGUUGAGUAUUGACGCUAGUGUUCCUGCGGGGCUGCUGAAGCUGCUGCUAGUUUUGAUUUUGUUAUCUUGGUACAAAUGGUACUGGUCUGAUCUUUCCCUUAGGUUUGGUCAAUUCGUAUGUCCUGUUUUAUCACUGCCAUGGUUUUCAUGUUCUGAUUUUAAUUCUAGUCCUUACUUGGUCUUGACUCCCCAGGUUGUAAUUGCUUUUAAUUGCUAUCCAAUUUGAAUCUUCCAUUUUGCUGCAACCAUGGCCACUGCCGUUCUAGUUGCGUGAGAGUUGUAGCUGCUGCAGAAUAAGAUGAAAAGAGGGUUUAUCGUAUUAAAAUCGCUGCGGGUUUGGUUCUUUGAGGUAGGAUUUUUCUUAAAUCUAUUUUACAUUACAGGAUUGUUAUAAAUUGAUAUUAACGCGUAAAAUACAUUGUUGUGAUUUCGUGAGUCUUAUGAUUUAAAAUGAGAUGUUUUGGUUGAAUGAGAUUAUUAGUUUGAUUGAGAAAGUUAGAUAUUUAGAUUAGUUGAUUGAUGUUGUUAAAGUGGUUUUCCUUGAAUUAUUAGAGAAGAUUUAUUAUUGCCUUUUAGGUUAAUUUUGGAAAUGGUUUGAUUUUAGAAAAGAUUUAUUAUUAAAAUUUGAUUUGAUAUUAAACCCGAUUUGAUAACGGAUUUUGAUUUUAAAAUAAAUUUGGAAAAGACUUGAUAUUUGAAAACGGGUUAUUUAUUGAGAAUGAUUUGCUAUUUUGGAAAUGAUUUGAAAAGUGCUUGAGGGAUGGUUUGGUUUGAAACUGUUUGAGAAGACCGAGAAUUCUUAACUAUUGAUUGAUGCUGUUGGUUGAAGUCGGUUUAAAUUGCGAUUUAUAGGAUUGGUUGAUUGAAUUCUGGAUUUUCAAUUUCCUUGGAUUGAGUGUUGUUGUGAUAAUGGUUAUUGGAAGUGAUUUGACUGAUUAACAGGAGUUUGGUUUGGUUUGGUUGGGACCCAAAAAGGGUGGCAGUGUCUAAGCUUUAGAGGAGAUGCUGACGAAAUUUUAUAAAAUUAGAAGUUUUAUUUGAAGUAAUUAAUUAAAAAGAUUUGUUUUUAAAUAUUAUAUGUUUUAAGAUUGAUUUAUUUAUCAAAGAAAGAAUUACAUUUCAAAUUGGGAUUGUUAACAGACGGAAUGGAAAGAAGGAUGAUGAGGAUUUUCUUUGAAAUAUAGUUUUUGAAUGAAUUUGGAAAUGAGGUUUGGAUUGAUGAAUGAUUAUGAUGUUGAGAAUGUUGAGAAUGUUGAGAUAUGAACUUUGAAUUAUUCAUUUGGCUUAUGAAUUUGAAUUAUCUGAGAUACGAGGUUCCCUAAAUAAAGUACCAUGGCCUGCCACCACGUGUACCAGGUUGAAAACUCGAUACUCUGUUGACCCUACGACGUAAGUGUGACCGGGCACUAUAUAAAUUCCCGGGAAUGUUACCCACAUUGAGCAAUAUUGAUUAUUUAAGAAAAAUCUAUGCAUAGACUCUUGGGGAUGCACGUCGGGGGACAGUCUAAGGACAAUUCAGACUUGUCGGGUUGGCUGGAUAACCGACAGAUGAGCCUCAUCAGCCAUAGAACAGACAUGCAUCGUAUGCAUUUGUAUGCUAUGCUUGGGUUUGAACUUGUUUUGGUUUGCCUAAUUGCUAAACUGUUCUUAACUGCUACUUGAACUAUUUGCUGUAACUGCUACCUACUUGUGCUUUCCUUGUCUGUCUUGCCUGUGUUUGUCAUGGCAUGCUACAUUUGAGAAUGAAUUUUGGUGCUGAAUUAAUGACUGUGUUAUUUGAUUGCGUGGUUGGUUUCUAAUUGAGAUUUUCUUAUAAGAAAGGAAAUGUUUUUUAUUUCUGAAAGAUUAACCAUUGUUUCUUUGAAAAAGUUUUGAACGAUUUCCUACGGGUUUUAAAAGAUUCAUAAGGCAACGAUAAUCACUGAGCUUGAGAAUAGUUUUCUUAUUAAAUAUCUUCUUAUGACAACUUUGAAAUUCCAUGGUGAGACCAUGUGGUUAGGUUCUCAACCCCCCUACAGCUUUACCUUUUCAGGAACCGGAUGAGGAAGCAUUAAGAAGAGUUAUACUGCGUUUGGUUUAUAUGCUGUUGUAUUAAUUAGAUUAUUUUCUUCCUUCGUCUUUGUUAUUACAAGUUUGUAAGAGGGAUAGGAAUUGUAUGUUUUAUAUGUAUAAUAUAUUGAGUUAUUACGUAAGGAGUCUUGUAUAUGAAACUAUGCCUGCUUAUAUUUUCCUUAAGAUAAAGUAUUUAUUUCUGGUUUUUUUCAAAGAAAUUAGCGAUACAGUGUCGAGUCACAGGCUCCUAUUUUAAUAUUUAGUAUGUAAAGUAGUCGUAAUACUUCUUGCUAUCAGAGUAGCGCAGCCAGAAGCGUGACUUCUGAUAGUGAGGGUGUUACAUGUAUAACUGCUUUUGUAUGCACAAUGCCCACCUCACUUCUGCUUCAAAAUGGGAGUUCCUUUUGUUCUUAUAAGCUCCAAAAGAGCCAAAGAUAAUCAUCAAUUGUUGAUACAAAAUUACUCACCUGAAGCUGCUUUUUACAUGGAUACUAGCACUUAGUUUUAUUUAAUCUUUCUUUUUUUGGGUAAAUAAAAUGAAAUUAUUAUUAUUAUUAUUUAUUAUUGUAAGUACUAUCUUAUGAUUCAUGUCUUUUAAUUUUAUAUAAUGUAUUUAAAAUUCCAGGGACAUGGAUUGAAGACCAAAUGCAUUAGAUGAAUCUGAAAUUUUUACAAGGGUAUACCAUAUUUGAAGCUUGCUAAUGAGGUAAACUAUUGAUGAUUUAUUAUCUAUUUUAUAGGUAUUUUAAUUUUUGUCAUUGUAAGGUUUAUGGGUCACACUUUUAGUUUGGCUUAUUACUUAAAGUCUCACUAAUUGAUUGGGUUUGUAGUUUUUUUUUGUGAGACUUGAUUUUGAUUUGGCAGAGAAUCUAAGUGAUUGUAUGGAUGUUCAGAUAAAGAGAUGAGCUGCAAAAAAAUAAAGAACCAAUAUGUAGUCGCUGCUAUCAUCAUUAUAAGAUGUGUGCUCUUUGACAUAAAAUUUGUAUUGCUAAUAUACCAUUUCUCUUUAUAAUUUUGGAAUGUACGUCUACUACCCUGUAUUCUGGCUUGUAUUCUUAGUUAUUACUCUAAUGGAAAAUAUAAUGAAAGUGGAGACAACAAGUUUUCUGGUUUUGUUUUUAACCAGAUAGUCAAGAAUGAUCAGAUCCCGAAGAUUGUAAAUUAGAAAGAAUGCACCAUAUAUGUAAAUGAAUGCUGCUAUUUUUUAUUAAAUUAUUGACCAUGUUGUGUGUACCAUAUGAUGCUUUGUGUCUUUCAACUAUUAUCAUGCAACCAAUCAUUAUAUGAUUUAACAUGUUAUUUAUAAUGUUGAUACUGCUUUGAUACUCUUCAAUCACAUUUAGUGAGAUAAGCUUAGCUAUAUUGUUUAUUUAGCUCCAUUUGUAUGACCCAUAAGUGUUGCAUGCAAUUGCACAAUCUUUCCUCACGUCUCCGAUUGUUAAAUUUUGGAUUCUGCCAAGAAUUCUAUCAAUUUUUCCUGCUUUAGUCAAUAAUCUCCUUUCUUUGAAUAAUUGUUAAUUUCAGGAGUUUGUUUGCCAUUGGUAAUGGAUGCAAGAAGUUAAGGAAUCUAAUAUUAAGUCACAAGAUUUUGGAAGCAAUUGCUACCAGAUGCAAGGAACUUCCACAUCUUGAAGUCAAUGGAUGUCACAACAUUCGAGCUUUGGGGCUAGAAUCCAUUGGAAGAUCUUGCCAGUAUGUAUGUAAAAUAAGGAAUGAAUUAACCAUUAAUAAAUAGGCAACAUAAGGAAGCAUGGGACACAUGUUUGGGCUCUUUAUAUUUACAUUUGGUCAAGUUUUUCAUUGUUUGCUAUGUGUGUUUCUCUGUUUAUUUUUUGUUUGUUGUGCUAAGUUUGGCUUUCUAUUGGCAGACGUCUUCUUGAGUUGACAUUACUUUACUAUCAAAGAAUUAUUGAUGUUGGUCUUCUUCAGGAUGGAGAAGGAUGCAAGUUCCUAUAAAGUCUUCAACAAGUAGAUUACUUAAACCUUGGGGAUAUGUGGUAUACCUAUUGGCUGUGGGAAUUUAAAGAAACUUCAUAUCCAUUGCUAUUAUGAGAUAUUUCAUUUGCAUGCCUAUUUGGUUUACCAUGUUAAACUUCAUUUAAAAAUGAAUAUUUUUGGGAUGGCUCACUUUCAAAAUGUUCUCUGUGUAAUGUAAUAUAGGAGAAUGACUGUAACUCAUUUUGUCUCAACACACAAUUUUACCAAUUUUUCCUUUAUCUAAAUGGCUUCUUUUAGUGAUUUCACAUUCAAAACUAAUGUUCGUCAAUAAAAUUUGAAAACCAUGAAAGUUUGAGACCAGUGAGCUACAUGAAAAUGAAUGUCAAAAUAUAGUAUUUAACUUGGUUACAGCAAUUUAUUCACGUCCCAUGCAUAAUCUACCAUUCCCUUUUGGUCUGUUUCAUUGGUCCAAUACUGCAUUCCCAUUCUGCACACGCAUGAAAGUGUGUUAUGUUUGCUAUAUAUGAUAUAGUAAAUUAAUUGGUAUAUGCUAUGAUGUAUAUGCAACUUUGGCAAAAAUUUAAAAACAUUACUGAAAUUAGAACAUAUUUUUUAAUAUGUUACUCAUUUUUGUUGAGCUUGAAGAUUAAAAGUGUUUCAUCCAAAUAGAGUUUUAGCAUUAGUCUUAGGCUUUUAGCCUUUUUUCUUAUCUUUUAAUUCAGUUUUUCCCAAAUUUUUGAAAGGUGCAGAUGAUUUUGCCACAAGUUGAGGUUAUUACUGCUUGAUUUCAAUGGCUGAUUUAUAUAGCUUUAUUGCAUCAAGUAUCAUUUGUUAUAUGUUAGUACUUUUCCAUUUUAUAUUCUGACCAACUAAUUUUACUUUGUGAAAGUAUCUUUUUCUUCCCAAAAGAUUAAUUCUUUGUUAAUAGUAUAUUUUCCAUUGCUCUCUCUUAAAUCUGCUUUGUUACUUUUUAUCUGUUUUGAAUCUGCUUUGCUAUAGCAUAUGGUUUUCUUAAUUUGUUCUCAAUUUGGCUUAUAUGUCUGUUAUAUGUUUUUGGUUGCUACAACUAUUAGCUAAAUACAUAAGAUUCAGGCAUUCAUGUUUUCAUUUUCUAAAUUUGAUAUUUUGAUUUCUUUUGCUUUUUCUAGAUUUAUUGCAAUUUGAAUGGUACUUUAUAUCAUAGUUGUCAGAACUGAACCGGUGAUCGAACCGGUCAGAUUACUAGGUCACUGGGUCAUUGGUUCAACUGGUGAAUUACUGGUUGAACCAGUUAACCCGGUCCCACAUAAGUAAAACAUAUAAAAUAGCUAAAAACUUAAAAAUUAACAGUUAAAAAACAUAUCUCUAAUAACAUUUUAAUAAACAUUAAGUCUCAAAUCUUAAAAAUAAGUAAUACGAAAAUAAACAUAAAAUUUGUUAGUACUAUUACAUAAACAAAUCAAUUUAACACAAUGAAAAUAACAAUUUAUGGAUUAUAUCCAAGGAGUAAUUUCAAAGUCUGGAUAUCUUUUUUCAUCUGACAAAUCUGGAGCUACAUCCUGAUUGGUUUCAUUCUGAUUUGUAUUUUUCACAGAAUUAUUAUUAGCUUCAUCAUCAUCUCGAUCAUCUUCCAGAUUCAAUUGAUCUAGCAUUUCAAUAAUGUUUCGCAAAUCAUAAUCAAUAAUAAGGCAAAAUAUUUGGUUAAAGAAUUACAAAAUCAUCCCUAACAAAAACAUACCCAAAUCAUCUAAAGCUGAUUGAAGAGACAUAUUUGCAAGAUCAUUCCGUAACGCAUCAACUUUUUCAGGGGUUAAAAAUGGUCGUGAAUCUUCUAUUAUCCAUUUCGAAUGAUCCUCAAAUGCAUCAAGACAAAUUGGAUCGUAAAUUUGCUUUUCUCAUUCGAUUCCUAUAUUAUCAAUUAACUUGAUUAUUCUUAUUAUGACUAAAAAUUUUAAAUAAUGCCUUCAAGAAAGAAUAAUAAAAAGUACCUUUGUUGUAGCCUUAAGUUGUAAUGAAUAUAAACAAGAUCAUUAAGCUUUUGAUACUCUAACCGAUUCCUUUUCUUUGAGUGAAUGUGUUCAAAAAUGCUCCAGUUACGCUGACAGCCUGAAGAACUACAAGUUUAACUCAAAACACGAAUCGCUAACUUUUGCAAGUUUGAUGCUCCAUAUCCAUAAGAUUCCCACCAUUGAUCUUAACAUCAAAAGGAAAUAAUAUAUCACAAUCAUAAAAUCAAAUCAUAAACAUAUCACAAUCAUAAAAGACUAAUUUUAAUAAAAAAAAAUUACCAGGCAUCACUAUGCUUUGCUCACGUACUGUAGACUGUCUUCCAAAGUCUCCUUCAGCAUUCUUAAAGAUUCUCAUCUCACUUAUCAAUUUAGAAAUCAAAUCUACAUCACCGUAAGCAUAUCUCUCAAUGACAUCUAGUAGGACAGAAGUUGUUUUCUUGUGCUUUUCAAAUUCUGUAGCAUUAAAUCGAAAAGCUGAAUUUAACCAAUAACCAGCAGCAUGAAGGUUUCUUUUAAGUUGUAAAUCCCAACGUGAAUCUAAAAUCUUCAAAUAUGGAUCAACAACCUUCUUUCUUUUUUGAAACUUCUUCACCAUCUCUUUCCUAGUCUUAUAAAUAGCUUGAUAAAGGAAACCCAUUGCAGCUCUAUCUUCACUAUCCACAAUACGCAAUACACGAACAAGUGGCUCAUUAAGCUUAACAAUAUCAGUGCAUUGAUUCCAAAAUUUAGAAUCUAAGACUUGAUCCACAAACUUUUUUGCUUUGGCUUCUUUAGAGUAAGUUGAGCUUGUCCAUUCUCUAGAUGUCACCAUAGCUCUCAAUGCAUCCUUUUGAGCCAAAAUACUUUGCAAAGAAAUAAAAUUAGUGGCGAAUCGAGUUGGAGCUGGACGAAGUAUUUCUCGUCCGCCUGUGAACUUUCUCAUCAAGUACAAAGGAUGGCAGUGAUUAUAGAUAAACUUCGUAAUCAUUGAAGCUUGUGACACAGUUUCACUCACUUCCACUAACUUCCCAAUAUCCCGCAACAUCAGAUUAACACAAUGUGCCGCACAAGGAGACCAAUACAAUCUAGAAAACUCCGAUUCCAACAACCUUCAAGCAGCAACGUAAUUUGCAGCAUUAUCCGUCACUACAUGUACAACAUUUUUAGGACCAACAAAUAACACAAAAUCCCUAAGCAACUUAGACAAAGCAUCAACAGUUUUCAAGAUAUGAGAAGCAUCAACUGACUUUAGGAAAACAGUUCCUUUAGGGCAAUAAACCAAGAAAUUAAUUAAAGUACGCCUACAACGAUCAGUCCAUCCAUCAGCCAUGAUAGUACAUCCAGUUGGUUUUCAAAUCACACGAUAAUCUUCAAUCAUCUUCUUUACAUCUUCAACCAAUUUACUCAACAAAUAUCCACGAACUCUUCCAUAAUUUGGCCCUUUAUACCCUGCACCCAUGUUUGCAAUAGUAUCGAUCAUCGGCUGAUAAUAAGCUGAAUUAACCGCAUUGAAUGGCACACAGGCAUCCAUCAUCCAUCUUGCAAUAGCAAUAUCACACUUCUCCAUAAUUUCUUUGCUUUGGAGAACACUUUUGAUAGUUGGUUGAGCUCCAGGUGUUGUUGCCGGUGGAAAAAAGAAUUGUAAUCCCUUGAGUUGUUUUCCAACUCCCUUUCUAGAGCUAGGUGCUGGAAUUCUUGAUGUUUGUUGUUGUCGCAUCUCAUUACGUUCAAUCUCAUCAAAUUCCCUUUCCACUUCAUCAUAAGCAUUAUAACUUUCUGCAUAUUUUUUUUUUGAGUUUUUCUUUUCUUAGUUCAAAGAUCUUCAAUGUUUUGAUUGAAUUGGUGUCUCACCACAGCUGGCACCUUUCGACAUGCCUCAAUAUCUUCGCCUUUUUCAGCCAAAUGAUGCUUAACCCGGUUAAUUCAUCCACCCCUAAUAAGCUUCUCGCAAUAAAUACAUAACAGAACAGUUUUUCCUUUAUCCACAACUUGUUUACAAUGGCCCCAUGCAGGAUCAGUUUUUCCUUUGUUACUAUUUUUGGGUUCCAAUUGUUGGAUCAAGAGUUGAUCCUUGUUCCUGAGAAGUUGGUGUUUCUGAUGGUGUAUUUGAUGAAGCCUGUAAGACCCAGAACUGUUGAAAAGUCUUAUUAUGAUCAAGUCUCAAAUCAUAUAGUUAUUUAUAGCCUUAAUUUCAGAAAUUAUUUUAUUAAAGAUAAUUAAGGCAAGUUGUGAUUUAUUGAAUUUGAGACGAGUUAUGAUUAUUAUCCAAUUUUAUAAUUAUUAGAUUAUUUUCUAUAUUUGAAUUAUAAAGUUGAUAGUUGUGAAAUAAUAAGGAAUUUAUAUGAUUUGGAUUAGAUAAGUAAUAUUUUAAAUAUUAAUACUGCUAUUUUGGAAAAUGAAGAAAUUAAGUAUAUUAUUUCUAAUUAUUUGAUUUGGACCUUCUAUUGAAAGUAACUUGUAAAAUGGAUGAGUAAAUGGUAUUUUUCUAUAUACAAUUAGUGUUGGAUUUAAUUUGGGUUUUAAUUACUAUAUUAUCCCUAUUUUUAAGUGAAAUUACAAAAGUAACCCUAACCCAGCGACCCGUUACCCGGACCCGGUUCCCUUUUCCCCCACACCCAGCUGCAGCCGAAAUUCCCUUUCUCCCCCAAAGCAGCAGCACACACGGUUUCCUUUUUCCUUUUCCAUGAAAGGAAAGAAACAGAAGCAGGAAACGGAGAGAAGGGAGGAAGCAGCUCGCCGGCCAGCCGUGCCUUGCCACUGCCGUCCCCACCUCGACGCCGAACCUGCCACGCCUUGCUGUUAGUCACCGCCGUCACCCACAUUCUUCCCUUCAUAACCUCACCCUCAGAUUUCAUCAACCCACACACACCGAACAAACGCACACCCAUGGUGGAGAAGAGAUAGGGCAGAGAGAGGGAGAGCGCACAUGAGGAGCGCGACCCGCUGUGUCGCCGUGUGCCAUCGCCGUCGUCGAGCUCCCAGGGCAACCACCGGCAAGAUUCAAAGGAGAGAGAAGCUUGAGGAGAGAGGGAGAUCGGCAGAGGGAAGGUUCUGUUCGUGCAGUCGUGCCUCCCUGCCUCAGAUCCGUCACCAUCUCCACUGCCUUUUCCGCCGCCGCCAGGCCGUGAACACCGUUUCGGUGGUUGCGUUCGCCGCUGCCUAGAUACAUGUGGUCCAAGGCACCAUUGAUGGAGCUCCGUUUCUGCUUCCCUGAUCCGCCGUGAGUGAGCGACGUUGGGAGAGAGGGAGUCGUCGUGGAGCCACAAGCUGCGCCGGUCGCCGCCGCGUCGCGUAGGAGAGGAAGGUUGAGACCGAGCGCCGCUGGGAGAGAGGAAGACGCGGUCUGGAGGAGUUGCAUCUAGUCACCGCUGUCGCUGGAGUUCUGAGGCCACCGGGACCACCGCCGGAGCUUCUGGCUACUUCUGCCAUCGCCGGAAAAAGUUGCCGGUAAGGGUUUUAUUUGAGGAUUCUGUCCUUUUUGAAUUCCGAGGAUACCGUAGUCACUGCGUGUUGGUUUCAGUUGGCAUGAUACGGCUGUUGUGCUAGGAGUUGCUGCAAGUUGCCACUGCCAGAAUCACUACCAGGGCUGCCGCUUCAUGGUUCAGUCACUUCUUAUUUGCGGCAAGCGUUUAUGUUCCGGUAACCCUUUUAGUCGCUGUCCUGUUAAACGUUGAGGUGUUGUAGCAUUUGUUGUUAUGAGAGUUAAUCUUGGUGGUUACGUGUUGCGAAUAAAGUGUUGUGGUCACUGCAAAAGUGAGCGAAGCCGUGAUUCAAGCUGCUGGUAAUUUCGGGUUAAGAGAGAAUGUUCCUGUGACGCGUUUGGGUUAUAGAAUUUGCGUUUUGAGGUAGGGGCGCUUUCUGAAAACUAUAUUUUAUAUGUUGGAAUUAUUACAUAUGGAUACUAUUGUGAGACAAUUUUGUAUUUGGUGAUGGUAUCAGCCUUAUGUAUUAUUGAUUGUCUCAAAUGAUUAUGAAUGUUUGCUUGGCUGGAUUGUUGUGUAUUUUUGUGAGAUGCAAUGUUCUGAAGUUGAUUAUUUAAAGAUUUGAAAUUUGAGUUUAAUCCGUUGAGGAUUGAUCUGAAUUGAGUUAAUUAGUUUGAUGAUGUGAAAUGUCGAAUGCACUUUUGAAUUCAGCCUGGUUUACUUUAAUUGACUUGGUUUUGGACAAAAGAUUUGUUACUGAACCGUUUCUUUAAAGCUGUGGAAAUGAGUUAAAUCGGUUGAUAUUGAUUUGAUUUUGAAACGGUUUUCUUGAAAUAUGGAAUUGAGAUGACUGUUGGAUUUUGGCUUGCCUUGGACUGAUUUUUGGAUUUUGGGCUGUUGAAAAGGAUUGUGAAACGGUUUAGUUGAGACCCGAACCGGGUGGCAAAGUCCAAGUUUUAGGGGAGGUGCUGCCAAAAUUUCUAUAAAAUCUGAGUCUUUAUUGAAAGGUUGUUGGGAAAAAUGAUGAGUUAAAGACUCCUACUAUUUUAUUUGAAUUAUCAGGAAAAGGAUGAUUCAUGCUUUUGAAAUGAAUUAUUAAAGAGGAAAUUGUGAUUUAGUCUUGCUUCUUAAGAAAAGCAUUGUAUCUCUUUUGGGAGAAAGUUAUUUAGAUGAAACUUAUGUUUUAAAGCUGUUUUAAUUGUGACAAUAGCUAUACCUUUGAAUUUGACUUGAGGGUUUCAAUUAGAGGAGUUUCAAAGACUUUGAAAGAACCUGAAUGUCUAUUGACAAGUUUCAUUUUAAAAGGUUUUGAGAAAGGUUUUAAGUACUCUUUGAAUUCUGAAUUCUUGCAAGACUAAAACAAUUUUGAGUCGUUGAAACGUUCUAGAAUUUAUCAUGGGGGUUGAAGUUGGUUUUGCCUAAGUAAAGGAAACGAAUUUGAAGAAGUGAAAGAUUAUAUGACUCGGUUUGACUUAGAUCCUAUUUUAUUGCUCAAAUCAGGAAGCCAAGGUUUUUAAUGAAUUUAAAUGAACUUGGCGAAAUGAGUUAUGUUAUUCUCCCCUAAAGACUUAGGACUCUGCCGAGAAAAUUUGUUAUAAAAUCCCAUUGUGGGAUGGGUGAUUUUGAAUGUUCCCAAAUUGAAUCUUUAACUUUCCAUGGUUUUGGAAGUUUUGGAAAGAGGAUGCCGAGAGCGGCUUUGUUUUAAAAAGGGAACUUACUUUGAGUAAAUUUGGCUUAUGAGCCUAAGAUGAUUUGAGAAAUGAGAUCUUUAAAGCCAAGGCUGAAAAGAGUUGAAACUUGAUUUCAAAGUGAAAUGAAUUGAGAAAAAGUGAUUUAUGGCUUAAAUGCUGAUUUUAUGAGUUUAAUGAUGUUGAAUGGUGGAAGUGCUGUUUUGUUAUGGGCUAGAAUGGCUGUGUAUGAUUAUGAACAUUGGCUGGUUCUGGAUUGAACCGUGAGCCGGAAUGGCUGUGUAUGAUAUUGAUUCAUGGCUAAUUGCCAAUGAGUUAUGGGCCGUAUGGCCGACUAUGAAUUAUGAAUUUAAGCCGGAUGGCUGAGAUGGAUGUUGAUCCAUGACUGGGACUGAAUGAAUAUAUGCUUGAGAUUCCUGGGUAGUAGCAAGGGUUGUGGUUUGUCCCACUUGCUCCAGGUCAGAGACUGUGAUGCCUGGGUAGUAGCGGUAGUAGUGGUGAUUCCACUCGCUCCAGGUUGAGCUUUUAAGCACCCGCCUGGGUAGUAGCCGUAGUAGUGGUUAUUCCACUGGCUCUGGGUUGAGCGGGUAGUAGUAAUGGGGUUGUAGCUCAAACCUACUUGCUCCGCGAUGGGUGUUUCUAUCCAUGGUUAGCUACCAGGACUUGUCGGGUUGGCUCUAUAACCGACAGAUGAUAUCAUCAGCCACUAGGGACAGGCAUGCAUCAUAUGCAUCUAUGUGAUAUUGUUUGGGUGUGCAUAUUAUACUUGGUUUGCCUAUGUGAUUAAUUGCUAAUUGUUCUAUUUGCAAUAACUGUUUGUUUAUGCUUGCAUCUUCCUAUUUGUGUUUGCUACUGGGACUCUGUUGGACUGUGGUGAUUGGUUGAUGGUUGGAUUGUUUGGGCCUAGAGCCGUGGUUGGAAUGAGAUGAACCGAUGGUUGAUUUUGGUUUUGUGUUUCUGGUUUGGAAUAAAAUAUGAAAGACUAUUUUGGUUCAGCAUAGAUAAACCUUUUUGAAAGGUUUUUGAGUUUUUUUGAGAAUUGAACUGUUCCUCUUUCAGAAAAGAUUUUCGAUUCCUCUUUUAUUGUAAAUUGUUGUUUUUGAAAAGAGGCAUAAGACGGUUAUUAAUCACUGGUACGGUUUAUCUUCACGUAUCCUAUUACAGUAAUUCCCAAAAACCCUCUACUGAGAACCCUUUCGAGGAUGAUGUUCUCACCCCCCCCCCCAACAUUUUUCCCCUUUCAGGAUAUGGGCGCAGAAGUCAAGAAGAGUUUAUUUUGUUGUUGUUGAAAAGCUCUGUAUUACUUUAGAUUAUUAUUUAUUAUACCCUCGCCUUUAUCUUGAUAUAUUCUGUAAGAGGGAUAGGAAUUGUAUUGGGUAAUGCUUGUAAUAUUAUUUAUAUAUAUGUGUAUAUAUAUGGAUGUACUCUUUGUGAGUUGUUGUAAGUGUAUUGAAUGUAUGGAUGUACGUUAUCGAACGAAAGUAUUUUUGGGAGCGGUAUUACGGUUUAAAGUUUUAAACAGGCUCAUAUUUUAGUAUUAAAUAGUAUAAGUGUCGUCGUAAUGUCCGAGCUAUCAGAGUCGCGCAGCCGGAAGCGUGAGCUUUGGUAGUUAGGGCGUUACAAAGCCAUCCUAAAUUCCUAAUCAACCAGGACUAAAUGAUUAAAUGACUAAUCAACAAUCAACAAUCUAAAAAUAAUGGAUAAUCAACAAAUUGAACAGAAAUCAAACAUAAAUCAACAAUCAAGAGAGAUCAAAAUCAAACAGAAAUCAACAUAGAUAAUCAACAUAUAUCACAACAAUAUGUUACAAAAAACUGAAUAAUCAACAAUCUAACUUCUAAUAGAAAUCAACAUACAUAAUCAAAAUCAAUUAAUUCUAACUAAAACUAAAGUACUAAAUUAUGAAAAUUUAAAAUCUUGAAUAACUUAAAAAAAUAAAAACUUAAAAAUACAUACCUAGAGGGACGAGCAGAGAAGAGGGACUAAGGGAGACCAGAGGUGACGACUGACGAGUAGGAGGCGACGAGCAGGAGGCGACGAGCAGUAGCAGUAGCAGGAGGCGACUUGAAUCUUCGAUGGAGGUGCUUCUGGGUUGUUGUGGGUGGCGCACUGUGACGAUUGCCUCCUGCGACGAUGGUGAGCCGGGUGAGGUGGCUGAACGGGUCUCUCUCACACUCUCUGUCUCAAACUCUCAGCUCUCAGUGGUCUCUCAUGGAGUCAUGGCCAAAAGGUUUGGAAGGGAAAACAGGGAAAGCGGAUGGAGGCAGGAGGCUCGAGCUAGGGUUUUCAGCAGCUCAUUUUACUUUACUGAGUUUUUUUUUUAUUUUAGUCGAAACGACGUCGUUUCAAGCGAAUAAAAAAAAGAGUUCGAAGCGGUCUGGAUUAAAUGAAACCCGUCGAUUCACCGGUUUCGGCCAAACCCGACCGGUUCAAAUCGGGUCUUUCCGAUUCGCGUUCUUGUCCGGUCAGGAAGCUCAUCUGAACCGGUUAUGUCACCGGUUUACCGGGUUUUCGGUCCGACCAGGCGAUUCAGUCUAGUUCCAACAACACUGCUUUAUAUCAUUGUUGGUUCUAACCUUUUCCUUUUUCUCCUUUCAGGAAGCUAUUGUAGAAUCUUUUAAGCCAUCACCCUUUUUUUAUUUAUUUUUUUCUAUUUUCAGAUUUUCUUAUUAUUAUUUGAUUUAUUGGCUAAAACAUUUAAGAUUGCUUAGCAUUCGAAUUUUCAGAUAAAUUUAAACUAUAGAUAUAGAUGAGUUUGAGUUUAGUUUUGAUAAUUUGGGAUUAGAUAUAUUUUGAAUUCUACUCAAAAAAUAAAAAAUAGGAUUAAUUUCGAAUAAUGUAUCUUUAUCUUAUAAUAAUUAUUUUGUUUAUUUUAAUUUUUUAUGUUAAUGCAAUGAUUGGUUUUAUGCUUUGUUCAAUUAAGGGACCACUGGUGGAUUUGAAAUAUGUAAUGAUUCUUAUAGAUGAAAAAGAGUUUUAAAAGAUAGUAGGGCCAUUGAAAUUUUACAACUCAUAUAAGCUUAAAAACUUAAUUUUUUAUUAUUAUUUAACUAUUGUUACUCAAUUUUAAUUUCUUUUUUUUCAUUAUUUAAUAUUUUUUGAUGACAUAUAAAAUAAAUUUUUUCUCUUUAUUUUACUUUUUUUUUUCUUUGCCCUUUUCAUUUUUGGCUCCCAACAAUAAUUAUUAUGGAUGGUGUCAAUGAAAUUGUAUGUUACUUCAUGUUUUGAUUUGAAUAUUUUGCACUAUUAGGUGUUAAAAGGAUUAUGUCAACGAAGAUAAGUAGUCUAAAGUAAAAGGUAAAAUGGUGUGCAUGAUGAAAAAUAUAAUACAAGAAAAAGUUAAUGGAGAUAUAUUACAAAUUUAUUGGUAAAUGUUGUACAUGCCAAAAUUGACUAUUUGAAGUUGGUAUUAAAUAACAAGAAUAUAAUUGAAUGGAUAAACUCAUAAAAGCCAAGGAACAUGUAAACUCAGAGAUGCGGUUUUUGAAAACAAAAUAAUUAGCUUCAGGCAUAUAUUCCAGGAUCUAUUUGCUGUGGCCAAAUGUGAUAGGAAAUUCAGAGCCGAAUUAAAAAAGAUUGGGAUUGAAUCGGUUCUGAAAGGAAAAUGAACGAGUUGGAUGCUAUGAGAACGUGAUUUAUUAAAGAAAAUGACAUAAUGUGGACACUUAAUGUUAACGAUUUUAGAGACAAAAUGGUGAGAUAUGCAUGAAGGGCAUGAACACUAGGAGAUUAUCACAGGCUGAACCAAUUCUAAAAAUAGAGUGAUGAUGUUGAAUUUUUCUGUUAUUAAUUUAAAUACUACAUUCUAAAUAAUUGAAAGACUUAUUUUUUUAAUAUAUUUUUAAUAUACAGAUUGAUCAUUCCAUUGUUAAAAAUUUAAAAAAUGAAGGAAUAAGUUAAAGGACAAUAUAAGAUAAAUUUAAAGAGAACAUAAGAUCUUAGUAUUUUUUUUUAUUUUUAAUAAUCUAUCUACUAUUAUAAAAUUACGUAAAUCAAAUUAUUAUAAAAAAUAAUUUAUGUAUUGUAAAAAUUAAUUAUUAUAUAUAUGAUACAAUUAGUAUUGGGUUAGCCCAAUUAAAAAAUUAUACUAUAAAUAGGAGUAUGAUGUAAUAAUGUAGGAUAUACAUGGUAUAAUUGAAAAUUCUACUUUCUCUCUUUGGUCCUAAUUCUAGGGAUUUCUCCUCCAUUCUCUCUAAUUAUCUCUAAGUCUCUCUAAUUCUUGAUACAAAUUCGUAUCAAAUUGUGCUUUCAUUGAACAAAUCUCCUAUGUUUGAUGGCAUUGGAGAUGGUUACCAGUGGUUUAUUCUCAUUGAAUAAUUUUGGAAUUCCCAAGGCACUCCUGAAGAGCAAAGAUUAUUGAAAACUUCCAAAUACCUCACAGGCAAGGCUCUAACAUGGUUUCGGUUAUGGAAGAAAUUCAAUCCUACUGCAACUAGAUCAGUUUUUGAUAUGGCAUUUUUGCAUCAGUUUGUGCCAAAUUCUUGUCCUAUACUGCCAUCAGAAAUUUCUUGGAAGGAAGUUUCAGAUCUAGAUAUAACUUUGGAAGAAAUCAGAAUAUACUUAGAUAAGUAUCAACCUAAGCCAGAGGAAGAACGUGAUUCCUCAACAGCCAAUCCGAAUCCAAUAAUUCAAACCAAUUCAACAUCGAUACCAAUUUCAGAAUUCAACAUGAAUAUAGAACACACAGAAGAAGCAGCAACAGAUUUUAAAUUGGAAUUUCAACCUCAACAACAACAAGAGAAUUCAACCGAAAGUGCAGAUCAAGCAAAAAUUCAAAUCUCAUACCAAGAUAUUCAAUCAAAAUUUCAAGCUCCAGUUACAGAAAUUUCAGAUCCAGAAAAGAGGAACGAAGAGACCGUCAUGGAAGGCGGCGACAGUGUGUAGAGCGGCAAAGAUCAGAGCAGAGGCAGCGAUACCGGGGACGGUGCCAUCGCGAUGGAGAAGGUGGCGUUCGCGGAUCACGACCCGGCAGCAGUGAGGGUGACGCGACCACCACCAAAACUACCGCAUCUGAACUCACACGUGGCGGUCUUGGGUAGCACCGCCAACGCUUCAAUGUUGAACAGAGGAGGCGGCGUCGAGGAAGAAGCACCAGCUGAUCUGUCCCUAGGUAGCGGCGUCGCGGUCGGAGCGUCCGCGAUGGGCGAGCGGAAACUCGUGACGGUGGAGGGGAGAACAGCGUCACUGAAGAUGGAGGGCAAAACAAUAGCGGUGACCGGUGGAGUUUGAGUUCGUCGCAUCUCUCUAUUAGUGGCCAAACCACCACCACUCACAGUAGCUGUCUUCCCUUGGAAUCGAGACGGAGGACGAAACGGAGAGGGCUUGCAAGGGCGAGUGGCGGCUUCGGGAAGAGGCAGGGAGAACUCGAACAGCGAACAGCGGAGGGGCGAGAGCCGGACGUCAGCGGCGGUGCCUCCUUGUGAGCUCGCGACGGCCGGAGGUGCGAGGGUUGGAGCUGCGACAGCGGUUUUUCCAUGGAACCGCGAGUGUGGAUUCAGAACACGGUGGAUGAAGGAAGCAGAGCACGAGAAAAAGGGGAGAAGAGACGCAAUUCUGAGAGAGGUUACAAAUGAGGCUAUGCAUUGGAGACCCUUGGGGUCUGUAGUGACAAGCCCAAUUCCACCAGUCUGGAGCCAGCACAAUUUUUUUGUUAACGGAUCCAAACUCAAUCAAGAUUUUUGUUGAAGGUAUAUUAAGGUCCAUUAAGGGUUAUUUGAAUUUUUUGGUUCAGAUGCAGGAAGUUUGUUAUUUUAAACAAUGGGAUCCUGGUGGCCAAUUUUUAUUUUAAGUAGUAGUAUAGAAAAUAUAUAUAUUUUUUUUAAUUAAUUUUGUUUAGUACUUGUAAUUUACAUUUAUGAUUUUAGUUAGGUUUUAUAUUUUUUUUUCUCCAACCUUGAGGAUAAGGUUAUUUUGAAGAGUAUGGUAAUGAUACAAUUAGUAUUGGACUAGCCCA